This 76279-nucleotide long non-coding RNA is filed under the name Aquilegia coerulea. RNAcentral's name for it is "long non-coding RNA (ACOE_LNC001190)". Lineage: Eukaryota; Viridiplantae; Streptophyta; Magnoliopsida; Ranunculales; Ranunculaceae. The record is from RNAcentral.
UGCCUUACUCCUUGUUCCUCAGCCUAAGUCUAACAUACAUAAAACCCACGAGCAUGUCUUUACAACUAGCCGACAGAUCAUUGAAAGUACCUAGAUGAAUAGUUGAGAAUCUCGUAGUUAAAGUGUCCGACUUUUACUAUCCUGUUGAUUUUGUGGUGUUGGAUACUGAAUCUACUGUCGAUGACUCGGUACCCAUCAUCCUUGGCCAUCUAUUUUUUGCGACCUCUAAUGCUCUCAUAAACUGCCAGAACGGUUCUAUGGUUCUCACUUUUGGAUCUAUGACUGUUAAAGUAAAUAUUCUUAACCUUGACCAACAACCCCCUGAUUUUUCUUCAUCUGAAGAUGUGUGCCUUCUUGACUCUCUACCCUAUAAGAUGGUACCUAGUUGUUAUCCUGAAGAUACGGUUGUUAAUUGCCCUACAAUGCAUAAUGAUAACUUCAACAUCAAUCAAUCUAUUGUUCAAACCAACAUUGAUCUUGAUUCUGUACCUAUCUUUGACCCCAAAGACCCUGAGGCCCUUGAUUCGGUUUGUUGUAUUGAUUCUGAGUUCCAAGUCGAGACCAUCUCUCCCAUCUCCUGAUCCUCUUCCUCCCGAGCUGAAAUGUGCCAAAUUAGAUUCGUACGGUAGUCAUCCUGUUAUCAUCUCUUCAUCUCUUAUUACCGAUAAAAAAAAUCAGCUUUACUUUCAAAUUGGUAACAAAGUUUUGUUUUAUAAUCCUCGUUUACAUUCUGGCAAACUUAUGUCUCGUUGGUCAGGCCCCUUUGUUGUGUCUGCAGUAACUCGUUAUGAUGUUAUUACAUGUGUUAAUCCUGCAGACGGUUCUGAAUUUAAAGUCAAUGGUCAAUGUCUUAAGCAUUUUCAUGAGUUAAGGCCUCCUGAAACUCUCUUACAGGAUCCUACCUAUUUAGAUUGACUUUUGACCUGCUGGUAUCCGAACCCUCUCUAUUCCUUUCCUUUUGUCUCUUUUGAGAGGUGUGGUUGAAAGUGUCGGGACCGUUAGUCCACAAACUCUUACUGGCUGAGUAUAAUUGAUCUAGUGCACGUUUUUCUCUUUAGCGUCACCACCAAACAGACUUGUUUCCUACUCUAUUUAGGGGUGGGGAAGUCAUUUCCCAUCUUCUUGUAAGUCUCGAGUAUCUGACUUUAAAAGACUCUUUGUUGUAUCUUAGACAUCAGGAUCUCGCACAUUCCACUCUAGCGUUUUAUCUCUCCUGUAUCUUUCGUUUUUAGUAGCGUUUAUCUAGGGAGUGAGUUUCCUGUUUAUCCCCCUGUCUGGCUGAAGACGUUAAUCUUAGCGCUCCUGGGAGGCAGCCCUGUGUAUCUUCUAAAGCCCGAUCGUGCUUUAUUGCUUCUCUUUUUGUUGUCGGGUUUAGUUGCAUUUUAGCUAUUAAACCGCUCGUUCUACCAUAUGUGCUCAGUUCUGUUUUGGGGUGGGCACGGCUGGCCCACCCACUCUCUCUUUGCCAUUUGGCUGGUUGAAAAUUAUUGCGGUUACAAAAUGCAUUGUUUUAAGAUAGGGUUUCCCUUUAUGUUGAGUCAGUCCUUUAUUUCAGCAUAUUUUAUUUCAGUUGUAUCGUAGUAUGGAAUUUCUUAUAAUCUCUAUGUAUAUGGAGAUAAUUUUGUUUGGCAGGAAUUUAUAAAGCGGUUUGAAUUUUUAGUACAUUCAUGAUAAUAUCUUUCUUUCUCUCUUUCCUAUUUUUAGUACAUUCAUGGUGGAAAUCACUUAUCAAAAUAAUUUGGUUUUUCUUUCUUUCUUAAAGUGAUGACUACUCGAGGCAGAGAGGAUGUGCGAUAUGAGAAGUGACUUGACUAGGGUUGACUAUCAUUGACCGAGGUUUGACCGAGGGUUUGCUGUUUGUCUCCUUCAUUAUGCAAUCUGAAUCAGUGAUCGGUGGUGUUGGGAAAGACACUGUAUGUCCUUGGAAGUUUCUUGCUGGUUUUGCAGCGGUGGAAGAUUAUUCCUUUGGGAAAAGGGUUCUUUAUUUUGAAAUUUUAUACAGAGGAGGAUUGGUUGAAGGUUUGUGGUGGAGGACCAUGGUCCUUUGAUUCUCAAAUUCUACGCUUGCAAAACUGGUCUCCGGAUUUUGAUCCUGAUAAACAAAAGCAAUCGAAUGGUUUGGUCCGGGUAAAAUUUCCAAAUCUUAGGCAGCAAUAUUGGGACUAUGAAGUUCUUAUGGCUAUUGGUCGAACUAUUGGUUCUCCAAUUGGUAUUGAUAAACAUACUCAAGAGAGGGAAUAUGGAUUCUUUGCGAGUGUGUUGAUUGAUGUUGAUCUUUCAAAACCUUUACCCGACAAAGUUUUGGUGGAGGUUGAAGGGGGUGAAGAGUUUUUACAAGAAGUAGAUCUUCCCAAGUAUUGUAGCCAUUGUUGUGCGCAGCGGAAACUAAUGCACAAAUAAGAUGAUUGAACAAAUGUAUGAAAAUAAAACAAAACGACAAAAUCAAACAAUCAACCACACAAGAUACAAGAUAUACGUGGUUCGGCAAUAUGCCUACGUCUACGGGGAGAAAAGAUGAUGUUUUUCUUAUCGAGACAAUUGUACAAACCCUCAUGAAGAAACCGAAGUCUUCUUCCUCACAAAAGUUCUCCAACUCUCUAAUGGCUUCUCACAAUCUCUCUCUCAGAAGAAAAAAAAACUAGGUUUUUCCCCUUUUCCUUGGUUUAACAUAGCCUUACAAUAGACCACGAAUUGGGCUUAAACAGGCCCAUAUAGCAUAAAAGCAAAGGAGGACGUACGUACGUCGAACGAACGUUCGUACGUUCAGCAAAAACAAAGUUGUCUGUGAUACGGGACGUACGUACGCCCUAACUACGUACGUAUGUUCCCAGACAAAAAACUUCCCCUUGUCCUCUUGUUUUCCACAAAAACCCAACAAUUCUCCACCUCGGUGAAGAUUCAAUAAAUCUAAGCUGACACCAAGAAUAAAACAAGUCCCAAACUGCCACACAUGUCCCGAAAGACCACCUCGGCUGCACCAUCUCAUGGUUACCUACGUACCCUUCUGCUAAGGGAUCAAGCCAUCGUAGUUCACUUCAAGAUAUAAUAUCAACUCGAAGGAAGGAUAUGGACCAAUUCUAACCAAUAGAACUUAGUCCCAUACACCACUUUAGUCACGGCAAUAUUCCAAGCUUCUGUCGGAGACAAAGCAACCAUAGAAUGUAAUGUAGACAACCUGCUGAUAGAUCUCACUGCCAAUGUAAACACAUAUCCAGGAGUAGACCAACGUCUAUCUAAGUGACAAUCAUACUCAACAUCCACAUAACCAACACACUGCAGCCUCAAAGUCCUUCCAUGUUGAACUAACAAACAAACCUCCACACUACCUUGAAUGUAGUGGAACAUCCAUUUCACAGCUUCCCAAUGUCUCACAUCAGGAUCAUGCAUGUAUCUACCUACAAUGCCCACUGCUCGUGAAAUAUAUGGUUUGAAACACACCAACUCAUCAUACUUUGCAACUCUAGAACCACUAGGCUGAGACAAAUAAAUCUCCUCAUCUAGCUCACCAUGUAAAACAACCGUUUCCACAUCAAACAGAGCUAAUACCAUAUCAGAUCACACUACCAAGGCCAUAAGGAUGCAAACGUUUACCUUCAAGUGCACAUCUUUACCUGGAGAUUUUUCUUCCUUCUUACGUCCUCUAGUUGCAAUUGGACCCUCAUCAAUAGGAUCACCAUUUUCUGCAUCUUCAACCGUCUCAUCAUCUGUCAUGUCAUCAGAAUUUGAAACACCCAAAACCCUUACAAGAGUUUCCACAUUAGAUACAGAACCUACUAGAACAUAUGGGGAUAUGCAAAUCUCCACCCACUGCAAAACCUCUUUGGUCUUGUUCUCCACCUGCUGAGAACUCUCAGGCUCCAACAUAGAAACCUCACGAAGGUAACCAGGAUUCACAAUCAAAUGCAACCUGUNNNNNNNNNNNNNNNNNNNNNNNNNNNNNNNNNNNNNNNNNNNNNNNNNNNNNNNNNNNNNNNNNNNNNNNNNNNNNNNNNNNNNNNNNNNNNNNNNNNNACUUUGCCUAAUCCAGCCAUAGAUAACAUAUGUUCUGCCACCAUAUUCUGUUGCAGUGUCGUUCUCACAGUGAAGUGACGCUCAAUACCCUCAGUCUAACAUACUUGCAAGACCGGAUCAUCUUUGUACUCUAUGCUAUUAUCUAAGCACAAUACCAUGAUCUUUGUGUCAAUUCGGGCCUCAACUAGCUUCUUCCACUUCAAUAUUUCUAGGACUUCAUCCUUAUGCUUCAUGAUGUAUACCCACGAACGCCUAGAAAACUCAUCAACUAAAGACAUAAAAUAAGACUUACCUCUCCAAGCUGUGUACUUGGUAGGUCUCCAGACAUUCAUGUGAACAUAAUUAAAAACUCCACUCAUAUAAUGGAUAGUUGUGCCAAACUUUGCUCUUGUCUGCUUGCCCAGAUCACAAUGCUCACCGAACUCUAACUUGCAGGCGAUAGCACCUAUAAAAAACCUUUGCUCCGUCAAUGUCUGCAAAGAUUUUUCACAUUCAUGCGUCAACCACAUAUGCCACAAUUUGUUAGUCUAUCUAGCACACUUAAUUGUAGCCUCUGACAUGGCCACAUCACAUGUAACUGUACUACCUUGCAAGAAGUACAAGUUACUUCGUCGAAUACCCUUUAGUAAUAUCAUUGCACCAACCAUAACCUUUAGAACACCAUUCUGAGCUACUACCUUGUAACCUUUAGCUUCUAAAGUACCAAGUGAAAUAAGAUUCUUUUUCAAAUCAGGAACAUAUCUUCCAUUCCUCAGCUCUCAUAUCUUUCCAUCAAACAUCUUCAAUCGAAUAGUACCUAUCCCCAAUACAUGACAAGGUUGAUCAUUCCCCAUCACUACUACACCAUUAUCUAGCCUUUUAAAGCUAGAAAACCAUUCCCUUAUGGGACACACAUGAUAAGUACCAGCCGAAUCUAAUAUCCACUCAUUAGCACUAGUGGAACAAUCGAUGGAUGAAACACAUAAAGAAUAAUCAGAACCAUCAUCUUCAUCUCUAUUAAUAUGUGCAAUAUUUACCUCAGAGUUAUUCUUCUUGUCCUUUGCCUUGGUUUGAAGACAAUCUUUCUUCCAAUGCCCUUUCUCAUGACAAAAGGAACAUUCAUCUUUUGCUAGAAACCUCCUCUUCGGCUCCCUACCAGACUCACCCCUACUAUUGUAGCUUCCCCUUGCCACUAAGACCUCUGGUGUUGAGCUUUUGGACUCUUCUUUGUCCUUCUUCAUACACGCAUGAUUUAACAAUGCUGCAGAAAUCUCACUAUACACCAACUUGUCUUUUCCAUAUGUAAGUGUGAUAGCCAAGUGUUCAUAUUCGUCCGGUAACGAAUUGAGGAGACACACUGCCUUGCUUUCAUCACUUACAUCUGCUCCAAGAUUCACCAAGUCGGCAAUUACCUUGGUAAAAUCAUUAAGAUGCUCCGCCAAAGAAUUUGGGGUAUCAUUCCGUAUGCGAUUCUGUGGGGUAUUUGGCUGGAGCGGAAUCGAAGACAUUUUCAGGGAGUUCAACGUGAUGUGGAUCGCACCAUCCUUGACAUCAAAGGACUCAUAUCCCUUUGGUGCAAGAGAUGGCAUGAUUAUGGAGAGAUUCCUUAUGCUUCUUUUGUUUACUCUUGGGAGAAUGUUCUAAGUGGCCCUUGACGUAGAGUUUCUUAUAGUUUUUGUUGUUUGUUCUAUUUUUUUUUUUUUUUUUUUUUUGUUUCCUUGACUAGGGAUAUCUCAUCCCUUGGCUUUGUUUGUAAUCAACUUUUUGAUAUGAAUAUAUUAUGCUCGUUUACCUCUCAAAAUAAAUAAAUAAAUGAGUUAAAUGAGAGUUUAAUUCUGAGUUUGUAAUCUAAUCUUAGAAGGUUCCUACCUUUGCUGCCUAAAGCACAUUAACUCUAUCCUUUCCUGAUGACACAUAUUAAAUAGUUGCAUGUUGCUGCCCUCCACCAUUGUCUGCCAAAAAAGUGACAUAAUUUCUUUGACUUACCAGGCAAAAAAAAAAUAAAAAAGAUUAUUUGAUGUUGAUUGGUAACUACAAUUUUCUUAUUUAAAAAAAAAAAAUUAUUAGAUACAACAUAGUAUUAGAUAAUAGGGAUUAUAGGACAAGGUCGAACGAGAAAAAAAAAAUUUAUUUAAACUUUUCCCAGAUGAUACAAGUAUACUCUAGUGGCAACUGACACACCUAUCGAUCAGUGUUUGGUUCCCUGGGAUAUUUCGCGGAUAACUGUUCCAAUGCUAUUGUUUCUGCAGUACAAACAAAGUAAUCAAAUUUCUGUAAAAUGAGUUGAGCACCGUGUUGUUGUUGCGGUUGAAGUGUCAGAUCAGUACAAGGAGCAUGGAUAUAGGCUGGAGAUAGUUGAAAUGAGAAAUUCUGUAAAAUCAUGGCUAGAGCCAUUUUUGCUUGAACCCCACCAAAUGGUAUGAAUGAGAAUUGAUUUUUUGUUGCUUUUAAAACUCCAUCAGAAAAUCUCUCUGGAUUAAACUCUUCUGCAUCUUCACCCCAAAGUUCAUGGCUAUGGUGAAGAAGAAGUGUUGGUAGGCCAAUCUCUACCUCUGAUGGUAUAUAAACUUCUCCAAGUUUCACUUCAUUGUUGGCAGCACGAGUAAUCACUGCAAUAGGCGAGUAUAAUCGAAGGACCUCGUAAAUAAUCAUGCUUACCUGCAAAGAUUAUGAUAUAAAUAAACUUAUAAGCAAUCUAUUGGUUAUAACUGGCAUCUAAUAAGAUAAAGUACAUUUGUAGUCUAGAAGUUAACUCUACCGCUCAAUUUAUCGUAUAUUACUUGCAAUUUUCAAUUGGUUCAGCCCCUCAAACUCGGGUUUAUUUUUCCCAAAGUGUUGCAAGACCUCUUCCCUCGCUUUAUCUUGCCAAUCAGAAUGCAUACUCAAUACAAUCAUUGUCCAUACUAGCAAAGUUGAAGUAGUCUCUCGCCCGGCAAAGUAGAACAGUUUGCACUCAUUAUAACUUCAUGUAUACUCAUUCCAACAUCCUUAGAGGUCUCACUAUCUUCCUUUUCUUUCAAAUUCGAUUCGAGUAAUAAUCCUAACAAGUCAUCAUCACAUGUUUGACCGAUUUUCAUAGACUCCUCUCUCUUAUUUAUCAUAUCAGUUAGAAUCGUUUUUAGUUCUUUGUCUAUUUCCAUCAUCUUGCUGUAUUGUUUUGUCGGAAGAAACCAACUGCACAUAAAAGAUACAAAAGGUGAAAUACUGACUGUACAGACAGUAAUAUCAAUUCGGUCUUUCACAUUUUAUAUCCAUUUUUUCACAAGUAAACUGUCUGCGGUGAAGAGAGCGCCUAGGAAAUUCUAGACAGUGAGGUGAGGGCUCGUGUAUCAUCCAUAUUAUACGUAUUUUUAAAAAAUUUAAAAUGAUAUUAAUAAAAACAUGAUCGCAUGUUUUUUUUUCAAGUAAAACAUAAUCCUAUGUAUCGACCCUAUCAACUGGGCCCGUUAGCCCGACCCUCAACACUUUAAAAAAAGGUCUAAGGGUCGGGUGAGGUUUUCACAAUUUUUGUGUUAGCCCGCCCCGACCCUCAUCAUCUUUUAAGGUAGGGAUGGCCCGACCCUUAAAGUGUGAGGGCUAGGGUUCGAGGUCUGGGCUAGCCCUACCAGGCCCAUUUUACAGGCCCAAGUGUAACACACUUUUAUGGUGCACUUAAAUCCCUAAGACUAUCUUUGUAACAAAAAAACUCUCGAUUUUGGCCCCAAACCCUAAUUAUCGAUUAAAAAUGGGCUAAAAUCUGGUAACUUACACCAACAAUCAGUUGUUAACAUGUUUCGAACCCACAACCUCUCCACUUUGUGAGAGAGGUGCUACCAUCGAGCCACGGGCUUAUUCGCAAAACAAAAUGUUAUGGUAAGCAUGUUUUUAAUGAGAUUAGUAACUCGGUAAUGUUUGCGGGAUUUGAACCCUAGACCUCUGGUAAUCUGGUAUCAUCACCGAAAGGUUUUACUAGUUGAGCUCAGUUGACACUUGCAAAAAAAACCCAUUUUUUUUUAUGAGAUCAGUAACUCGGUAAUAUUAGCAAGAUUGAAUUCCAAACUUUGAAUACCCGAUUAGGCAUUUGAAAAUGAAAGUUUGAUACAUUAUAGCAAAAAUAAAGUAGGACCUAAUUAUGCACAAAAGUAAUGUAUGAUUCCAAAAGGCUGUUCAAAUAUAAAGUGACAUCCAUGUAUAUUGUAUAUUCAUUGUCGGUCGAGAAAAUGAAAGGGACUUCAAUAAAUUACAAUGGGAAAAAAGUAGUACCUAAAUUAGGUACAAAAAUAUUUAUAGGAUGAUUCCAAAAAGUGAUUCAAAAAGGGACUUGAACAAUUAUGCAUAAUUUGUACCAUUUGCAGUGCAUGAAGUGUGAUCAUGGUGUAAUACUGAUUCAUAGUUUAUGUAAGAUCAGUUGAGCUCCAUAUUGUGGUUUAAGUGUGAGAAUACUGUAAGGAGCAUGGAUAUAAGUAGAAGAAAGCUCGAAUGAAAACUGUUGCAGAAUCAUCGACAAAACCAUCUUUGCUUCUACAAAGACGAAUGUCUGCCCAGCGCAUAUCCUUGGACCCCAACCAAAUGGGAAAUAUGAGACCUGGUUCUUUGUGGCCUCUGAAACUCCUCUAGCGAAUCUCUCUGGUUUAAAUUCCUCUGCAUCUUCACCCCAAAGUUCACGACUAUGGUGAAUCAGAAGUAUUGGAAGAGCUAGUUGUACACCUUCUGGCACAGUAACAUCACCUAAAUUAAUCUCCUUGUCAUUAGCUCGUGAAAUGAAUGGUGUUGGCGGAUAUAAUCUAAGAACCUCGUGUAGAAUCAUAGUCACCUACAAUGAAAUUUUGAUAAAAGUUUUCAUUAGUCUAUAUCAAAAUAAAUUUGCGACAGUUCAAUCACAAGCUCAGGUAAUAUGGCAGUAAAAUCACUUACAAUUUUGAGCUGGUUCAACCCAUCGAAAUCUGGUUUGCUGCUCCCAAAGACUUUCAUUACUUCUUCUCUUGCUUUCUCUUGCCAGUCUUGAUGCAUACUCAACACGAUCAUAGUCCAAACGAGCAAAGUGGAGGUUGACUCUUGUCCAGCAAAAUAGAAUAACCUACACUCAUCUAUAAUUUCGUCAAUAGUCAUUCCUACGCGCUUACUGUUCAUAUCGUCUUUCAUUUCAUUAUGAUUUGAUUCCAUUAGUACGCCUAGUAAGUCAUUCUUCGGUGCUUCUCCCAUAUUAAUAGCCAUCUCUCUCUUUUUCACAAUGUCUCUCAGCAAAUUUCGCACUUCUCUACCAAUUUUCUUCAUCCUAUUGUUCCUUUUUGUAGGAAGAAAUCUGCACAUUAAGAUGUUCAAUGUCAAGAUCUGUAAUUAUCACCAGUUGUAAACAACAUUAAUAAUGCGCUAGCUUAUGAAUGUAUACCUAAAACCAGGUAUGUUCAGUGACACUGCAACUUGAAAAACAAGCGUUCCAAGCUCAUCUAUGAGUUGGAAUAUUCGACGGCCUUCUUCAUAAGAACUACCAAAUGCUGUUCGAGCAAUCACAUCCUUUGUUAUGUUUUGAAGAUCAGGCCACACAUCUAAUUCACAAGAACCUUCUGAAAAAUCCAAAUUCUGCCACUUGCUAAUCAAGUUGCUACAAGUAGUAUAAAAUGCUGGUGACAUCAUCUGCCAAGACCAAAUAUAGAUGAAUUUGCAUGAUAUAUUUGGGGAAAGAUUCAAUAAAAAACAUCGCUAAGUAACAUGAAUCUAUUAAAUAUUUAAAUAAGAACAGAAAACAACCUUCAACUUCUCUGGAUGGAAAGCAGGGUUAAGAAUCCUUCUGUGUUUUGCCCACUUUUUACCUUCAUAGAUUACAAGUCCAGAUACCAACAGCUUGGACAGUGGAUUUGAUCUUGGCUUGAGAAAAUGACCAGAUUUGUUCAUAAAAAUUUCUUUCAACAGCUCAGGCUUCAUGAUGUUCAGCUUCAGAGUUGGUCCAUACCAAGUCGUAAACAUUCUACCUGUUUUAUCAAAUAAAAAAACAUUUUCAUCGCAUAAAUUUUUAGACUAGAAUUUUUCAUAUGAAUAAAACGAUAAAGAGUGAAUUACCAUAGCUUUCGGCAAAUUGAUCAUGGAAAGGGAGAACACGUUGAACAAUUCGAUGUGAACGUUCCAUAGGUCUAGAUUGUGCUUUCUUAGUUAGACUCACCAAUUCUUUGAGGUUACCAUGUAGAAACCUAUAACUUGGACCUUUGACACCUUUCUUCCUUAGAUACUUCUCAAGUUUUUUGGGGUUUAACCAUAUCCAACAGAAAACAUUCCAUGUCAAAAAUAUCGCCAGAACUGCAGAACUAACAGUUACUACCCAUACAACCUUCUCCAUUUUGUUUUCACUGAACAUUGAUAAGAUACCUUAUAUAAUGUAACAGAGAAUAUGUAAAGACGGCGGCCUCUUGUAUUAUAAAAAUAUUUAUCGACCGUUUGUCCGUUUGCCAUUUGUUUUAAUUCUAGAAACUUAUUAUCUAAUGAAAUGUUUCUUCUUUAGGGUGAUAAUUGCCGGACAAAAAUGAAUUUCCUUUUGUUAGUUAUCAAUCCAUUUGCAGAAGUUUGUUUAUUAAUGAAGAGUAUGCAAGCUGUUUUAAUUUGUUCAUAUACGAUCUGAUUGGAAUCUAACUAUGUGUACGUACUUCAUAUAAAAACUACUGCAAAAGACUAUUAUAGUUUUGAAUUGGCUGUAUCUUUUGUUGUAUUAAGGUCAAGAGAUACCGUUUCGUGGUCUAUUUCAGUUUCUGUCAACUGGAAUAGCAUCCAUAUAUCUCUGUAUUCGGUGAAGCAUUAUAUUAGUCCAUUUUUGGCAAGUAGGAUUAUAUUGUAGCAUCAUGGUAGUUCAAGACUUCAAGUUAUAAUAUCUCACCUACUGUAAAAUUGACAAGUCCUGAACAUGUUGCCACAUUCACAAAUCACAAUUGCUGUCUCGUAGAUGUAACCGUGCAUUGCUCAAGUCUAGGGAAGAUGUGAAUCAUUAGGUAAUGGCAGAAAGAAAUCAAUAAUAGUUCAUGGCGAUUAGAAAGCAUCGAAAAAUACCAAAAUGUUAUAUCAAUUAAUAUUUUCUUUUACAGUAUCACGUACAGAAAAGCUCCUGAUGUGUGUUGCUAUCUGAUUGGUGUAUUUAUAGAGUUCGAUCAUGACAACUUUCGGUUUUCUAUUUUAGAAAAAAAAAAAAAAAAAAAAAUGCCCUUCUUCUAGGGCUGUUGGUUUUUUGCGAAUGAGCCUAUGGCUCAAUGGUAGCACCCCUCUCACAAAGUGGAGAGGUCGUGGGUUCGAAACACGUCAACAGUGGAUUGUUGAUAUAAGUUUCUACACGUAAUUUAAAAGGGGUAGGGGUCCCCACAACCUUGCUUGCCAACCAAAAAAAAAAAAAAGUUAAAAAAAUAAAUCUACUAGUUUACUUGAUGGUCCUGGUUGUUUGGCUACACAUAAAAAAGUUACUUUUUUGCUGUGAAAAGUAAGAAAAUCAAAAAGUUAGUAUGGAUGCAAUUGUUUUUUUACUUUUUCGUAGCAAAACUUUUGCUGCCAGAAAAAGCUCAAAAUUUUAGCUUUUUACUUUCAAAAAGUAAACACAACAACAUAAAAAAUGAAAUGUUAGUAUUUUUCCCCUAAUUUGAUCAUGUUUGGGAUAUCCUAGUUGUUGUAGAAAUCUACCCAUAGGAUUGAAUUUUUUGAUGGAUGAAAUCUAAUUCAAACAUCUUGAAUGUUAAAGUUCUAUCUUCAUUGUUGCGCCCUUCUCUUAAUACCACUACACCUGUGUAUGUAUAUACAUAUCGAGCUACAUCGACUUAAAGCUAAUUUUCAUCGAGCUCACCCGAGCUCAAGCCUAUUUCCAACGACAAUUUUUUACUUAUUUUUUAUGUAUUUUCGUCAAUUUCUCUUCAAUUUUACUUUUUGUUGCCAAGGAUACAUUCCUUUUAUUCUCCAUACUUCGAAUUGGCUUCAUGUACACUAAGGGAUACAUUCCUUUAUAAUUCAUAUUGGAUAGUCAUAAUUAUAUAAUACUAGUGCCUUAACCGGUGCAUAAUUUUAAUUUAUCCAUCUCUGAUUAGCAUUCGAGUUUUAAGUUAUUAAUUUUAUUAAAUAUUACAAAUUAUACUAAUUUAUUAAAUCGUAUGAAAUAAUUAUUUCUUAAGUAAAUUCAUUAUUCUCAUUGUAUUUUGUUAAUUACAAUAAAACCAUUAAUUUUAAAGUAAAUAAAAAUUAUUUAAUUAAAGUAAAUAAAAAUUAUUUUUUUAUUGGAUAUUUUGCUUAAAAAUAAAAAUUUAGCCCAUAAAUAAAAAUAUGUUAAAUUACAAUAAAACCAUUAUUUAAAGGGUACCAAAAAAUCAUGACUAAAAGGGUACCAAAAAAUCAUGACUAAAAGGGUGUUAAAUUAUAAUAAAACCAUUACACUUAGAGAGUAUUAUGUAAAUUUACCAAAAAACCAUGACUAAAAGGGUAUUUUAGUCAGAAUUAGGUAACAAAAUACUAAAGAUCAAUUCUCAUUAAUCGGGACUUACCCCUGGAUUUUAUUCAGGUUUAUAAUAGUAGUCUAGAUUUUUCUUAAGCAUAUUAUUGUUUUCCUACAUGUUUAAGAGAACGAGGCUCAUGCAUAAGGCUUGGUGGAAAUUUUAGAAUUAUUUAUCACACUAAUAGUGGAACCUAAGAAAAAUUCUCCUGGUCGACAAUAUAUAAUUCUACGAAGGUGAUGUACCAUAAGCUGUUUUGCAUGACACUAAUUGUACAGUAGUUAUAUAUGGACCAAUGGGCAAAUAGUCUAAUUUUAACCAAUGAAAUAUUUUGAUCAUUUGAGCACCAUGUAAUUGUUGUUAUUUCUUACAUUUUAAUUGAGAAACUACAAAUAGUGCUAGUAUAACAAAUGUGAAUUCAAACAAGCAAACAAGCAAUACGCAGAAAGUAAAUAACACACAGAGAUUUUUAACGUGGUAAAACCCAAACAGGGAAACGUCCACGGUUGUCCUCGCGACAACAAAAUAAUCCACUAGAUGAAAAGAGAUGUACAAACCUAUCAACUACCUGCACUCACUGCGAGUUGACACUACCGGUUAUCUCUAACACCUUGACUUCACCAGAGCACCUUGAUGUACGCACAAGACACUCGACUUCUUGAUGAACACACAAGAAGACUCGAAGCCGAACUAUGAAACAAGCUUACACCAGAGUUCCUUGAUGAACACACAAGGAUACUCGACUUCUUGAUGAACACACAAGAAGACUCGAAGCUAAAUCACUAUUCAAUAAUAUAGAAGAAGGUGAACAGGAAAGAAGAAAGAAGAAGAUGAAUGGGGAAGAAGAAGAUGAGUUCAAUCACCAAAACAACCUCAACCAAAACCUAAACAAACUCCAAGAACCAAGAGGUGAAUUGGACGGCCAAAGAACUCCUUGUUCUUUGGAAGAGAAACCCUAUUUAUACUUAGGGUUGAAAACCACCGAAAAUGGGCCGAAAUAGUAAAAGCCCACUUUGGACGUACGUACGUCGAUAUGACGUUCGUACGUCUCCAAACGAAAAUACUCCUGCUGCCUGCUGUGACGUACGAACGUCCUGUAAAGGUUCGUACGUCCAGACCACCAGCAAUCUUGCUGCCAUUCGAUACGUACGUACGUCCUUAAGAGGUACGUACGUCCUGGACCAGAAAUCACACCAAUGACACACGACGCGAAGGCAAGGACACGGGACGACGCGCGUACAACCAGGUUUUCUUAACAAUGAACUCAAGGCGAGAUAACCAAGGACACUUUGUCACAAAAUUGAUGUCAAACCACUUCAUGCCGGUUUCAAUCUCCCCCUUUGACAUUGAUUUUGUGACAAAAAACCUAUGACUCUAAUAGCACUUAUAAAACGUGCUUACAAACCCAAACCAUGGCAUUUAUAAGACAUGCCUACAAAAUCACUCAACGUAGAAUACAUACCGAGUCACCAACACAUGAUAUCCAGCUUGAGUAAGACGCUUUAACCAUCAGAGACCGAACGGAAGCAACAAAGAAUUUCCGAAGUAAUCAAGGAAUCAACAGAAGUUCCUUCGAGUAACUCCCCCAUACUUCAUGAGCUCCAAACUUCAUGAGCAACUCCCCCAUACGUGUAGCAUACCUGAAACAUGACCCAAAAAUAACCUAACAACAAGAAGACGAUCGUUAGAGUCAUAAAUAAUUAGAGUCAUAAAUCUCCCCCUUUUUGUCACAACAAGUGAUCAAAAUAACCAACUAUCAAAGGAAAAGAACAAUAAUAAACCAAUAACCAAAAAAAAAAAAUCAAAACCAAACAAAGAAUAUAAGACAGAUAAAAAUAUAAACCGAACCCAACUGUCAAAAGUUCAGAAAAGCAACUAAUAACCAAACAAAGGAAUCCAGAAACAGAAAAAAAAACAAAAACGACAAAAAUAGAAAGCUCGAAUUAACGAAUUCGAAAGACCCUUUCCCAAUGACCUAGAGGAAGCUUGGAGAAGUAAGCUUCCGCACGAGCCGAAGGACGAUUCCACCGAGCAAUCACAUGAUCAUCAUAAUCCUCCAACCAUUCACUCGUACAAAACAACUCUUCAAUUCUGCUGUCCAAGCCACAGUCGGUAAGUGGAGCAGCAAGUCCUGGAACCUUCAGAUAACCAACCAACUCCAAGAUGUGAUUUUGAAGAUGUCCCGGUAAUCUCUCCCAAUGAUUGACACGAACCAAACAAGGAUUAAGGAAAGGACGAUGAAUAUAGUCAUAUCCAUGGGGAACGCGACACAAACGACAAACCUUAGCAUUGUUCUUGUACUCCAUUACCAUGAACGACACAUAACCAACAUUCGGAACAAAAAUUCCAUGAAGUUCAUAUUCUGCCAUAGAGAAUGCUGAAGAACAAAGAGAGAAUUAGCAAGAGGUAAGAAGACACAAUAUGAGUGAAAGAGAAGAAGACUUCCUAUUUAUAAGAAAAAUAGGAGUAAACAUAUCAUGGACCCAAAAAGAAAGGUCCAUUACCUCAGAAAAAUUUACUGCAAAACAAGGAAACCAACUUGAACUAAUAUGAGAAUAGCAAUAUCCAAGAACAUGUACAAUACUAAAAAAAUAGAAACAAACCGAUAUAGCAAAAAAAAAUUUAAGUACAAAAAUGUGGAGAGUAAACCAGAAAAACCACUACUCGGAGUCCGAGUCACCAUCACUUGGUUCACCAUCACCCUCGUCCUCACUCUCUGAGUCAUCACCAUCACUCGCACCUUGAGCUGGAGGCACCUCUUCCGGAAACGGAGGCAAGUCUGUGGGAGUGAAGUCCAGCUGCAGAUGCCGCAUCUGAGCAACAUUCAUCGCAUGAAUAUCACUGAUCAUGACAUCAUGACGAGAGAGAAUGGCCCCGAAACGAUCCAACCGAGCAUCCAUAUGGUCCUGAUGACGGCGGAGAGAGGAAACCCGAGCAUCAAUGGCUGCAACAGCCCGAUUUCCCCUAGCAGAAGCAGGGAUGGGGCGUCCAGUGGUCAAGGCCCGAUCGAAAUCAUCAUUACGCACAAGUGCCCUGCCUCCCCAAAUGAGGUGGUGCGUCAGACGCGCACCCACGGACUCGAAAGCCAACUUUCGAGACUGACAGCCCUUUUUAAUAGCGUUGACCCAGUCGUGGCCAACAAACUUUGGAGGGCUCACCCCCAAAUACUGUCCCUGAAAACCCAAGUGCCUGAGAAUUGUCAUAAUAAAGCUAGGGAAAGGAAGAGUACCCUUAGCUGCAUCAAUUUGAAGCAUCCGAUUGUAGAUGACCUCAGAAAGACUAAUAUGGUGCACCGACAUACAAACCACCAAUUUGACCAUGUCGUCGGUCAUUAUUAUCUUGUUGCCCUUGGUGGGGUAGAUGUUGGAGUGAGCAACCAUGUGGACAAGGAUGGCACUGUAGAACUUUGCAUGAUAUCUCUCCGUGACCCCAUCGAUGAACAUCCGCUGAACUUGAUCGACAAGGUCAAUCGGAAUCUCAUCCGGAAUAGGCCAUCGAACAUGAACAGCACCUUCAGGAAGAAAAUCAUCGUCAAUACCCAAUGCCUCACGGAUCACCUUCGGAGAGAUAGUGUAUCUCCGACCAUCAAUGAGAACCGAGAAACUCGAGCGAUUCUGCGAAGGGCUCUUCGUUUCAUAGAAUGCUAUCGUAUGCUCAACCGAGUACUUGGUGAUUGGUUGAGCCACCCUUAGCCAAUUCCGAGUCUCAAAGAACAAUGCGAUAUUGCCAAGUUGAGAUGCCCCUAGAGGGGUGGUAGCAAUGUCUCCCAAGUCGAAGAACCGCUCGGGAACAAUGGCCUUGGCUCGAGGAUGAGCGCCAAGGGAUGAUGGAUGAGACAAACCCGGAGUGGAACCACGACCCCUCGGAGCGCGAGAAGAAGACGCACCCUUAGAUGCGGAUGCAGUGGAGGUGCGUGCACGCUUUGAAGCCAUUUCCUACACAAGCACAACGAUAAACAAACGAAAAGUGUGAGUGAAAUGUAGUCCCAAACAAGAAAAACAAACCAUUUGAGUCAUGUAGACAUUUUGUCAAACAGUUAGUGUGCAGAAACUAAAUCCAAUAGUAAAACAGCAAACCAACAAUCACAUUCACACUAAUCAUGAUAGAUGAUUAAGACUAGAGAAGGAACGAAGUGCCAAUUAAACAAAAAAAUCCCAGCGACACCAAGGAAUAUGAUCUUUAAAGAAAACUAAUUCUGUUACCCCAUGAUUAAUCACUCACAACAACAAAAAAAAAUUUCCAUCACAAAUAACCAUUAACAAGCAAUGAAAAGGAGAAUUGAGGAACUUACUAUUGCCGAAAGAGUGAGAAGAUAAACACCACAAAACUCUUUUGAACACUUAGAACACAGUAGGGAGGGACUUCACGAUUUGAAUGAAACAAUUGAGCAAAAGGUUUAACCAAAAUUUGAAUUUAAACAGCAAAUGGGCCGGACUGUAACAGGGACGUUCGUACGUCCUAAAGACGUUCGUACGUCGGGACUCUUAAAAAAAAACAACAUCUGUAAGACCCUACGUUCGUACGUUCUAAUAACGUUCGUACGUUGGAAAAAGAUCUGCCCACCUCAACGUUCGAACGUCAUGACAGCGUUCGUACGACCACACAUUUUUUUUUUUUUUUUUUUUUUUUUUAAAAAUGAAAGAACAACCUAAAGACCAGAAAGCAAGCCGACUAACAACACAAACCAUAAUAAGAAGAUAAAAGGAAAAUAACCGAUGUACCAUACAAGUGAAGAGGAACACAUCAUGAACUUCCAAAAACAGUAGCCAAUCCCAAUCCGUACAAAAAUAAGAGGCAAUAUGUUGGGAUAAACAAAAUAUUGAACAAUUAAGAGAAUUGAACUACAUCAUAAACUAAACCUCGGUGUGUAGAUGCAAUGCAAUGCAUAAAGAGAGAGAAAGUUCACCACUAGAACACACCCUUUGAAGACCGAGAAUAUAGAACCAUCAACAAGAGACAUACGAUUAGUAAAUGAGCAUAGAAGAACCAAACUUCAACCCCCUUUGAAACAAACGUUAUGAGUAGAAGGCAAACGAAUAUAAAUAUAUAAAUGUGAUCUUUCAAAUGAAAACCAAGACAUUAAAAGGCAAAGGAAUAUAACUUUGUAUGCCUUACAUAAAAAAAACAAUGAAUAUGCGCUUGGAUUUUUAUUUUGCCGCAUGUGGUGGAGUUUAGUCUACAUCACUCUAAUGUCAUUCCCGCGUGGGAGGGAUUUUUGCCUCCAUCUUUUCAAAUACACGAGGGUAGGGUGUAGCCUACAUCUUUUUGACAAACACAAACUCAAGAAGUGCAAUACCAUGAUAACGUGCAACACAAGAACUAACAUCUCUUGAGUGCAUCCGUCAGAGCAUGACCCUCACAACCCCAACGGGUUCUUAGCCAACUGAUAUUGCUUCAAAGACAAUCAAAUGGCUGGGGAUAAAGUGAGUCAUUGACCACAAACAAGAGUUGUAAUAGGAAGAUAAGAAUGCUCAAUAACACGAACAACAAGAUGAACAUUAACCAAAACAAAGGAGAGAUAGCUCAAGAUCACAUAAAUACUCGAGAGAUAGAGAAGUUCUAUGAGCUCAAGGAAUAUGUAAGUGGUUUCCAAAAACUCCCAUCAUGCAAGCAUGCCGUGCACUGUGCAAACAAGCGAGGAAAAAUGCAUGAUACAUACCAAAACAUACUUAAGAGUUCAGAAAGAGAAAACACCCAAACAUAUUGCAACUUAUUUAAGACAAUUGAAUUAAACCAAUAUCUCAGAAAAGAUGCAUCCAACAACACAUAUAUGGAAGAAAUAAAGAAAAAUAGAAGGAAUAACCAACAAUGUAUUCAGACAUGCAACAUGAUCGGCAAGCUAAACAAACAAAGUAGAAAAAGUAGAAACACCAAACAAAUAGCCUAUGUGGUUAGAGAAAUAUACAAUUCAAAUAACACAAGGCUAGAAACAAACCACAUCAUCCCAAAUAUGGGACACCACCAGACCUUUGCAAGUCCAGAAAAACCUUCAACUUAUCCUUUCUUACCCAUACAUGUUUAACACUAGGCGUGCACACCUUGGGAGGUGAAAUGAUAUGAUAUUUUCCCUUAACACGCUUUGCAAUGCAUUUGUCCUUAACCAAUUCCACCUUAGUCUUAGACUUCUUUUUGUUGGAAUACCUGUUUUUCUUAAACCUGUGAUGAGAACCAUUAUAAUUCCUAGGUCUAGAAAAUGCACAAGAAGGAACAUAAGAAUCAACAAGAUUAUAAUUAUAAGGAACAUGAGAAUAACAUUUAACAUGUUGAUUAAAAUCCCAACAAAAGAUAUCCAAAUGACCAACCCUACCACAAUAAGAACAAUGCAAAACAUUAGACUUACUCAACGAAUUCUUAUAAGAAGAUGUGGUAGUGGUGGAUAAACCAUGUAGGUCACUAUUUGGUUUAUGACAUUGUCCCUUAACAAUACCCAUACCUCCCCUAUUAGAACAAGAUGGCUUAUUAGCAAAAACAACCUUAUCAUUAGCCUUAGACUUAAACUUUGUGCGAGAAACAUGCUGAAAACUAUUAGUAUUAAGUCUAGUCUCAAUAGGCGGGGUAGGCAAAAGGGCAGGCAAACUAGUAGACUUUACAGGAGUAAUCACACUAGAUGAACUAGUAGAACUAUCAAUAGGAGAAUCAAAUCUAGUUUUGUCCACAACCUGCAAUUUGAGUUGAGUAGACGUUAAAUCGUUCUUUGUUACCUCAUACUCCACCAAUAGAGAUUUGUAUUUCUCAUCGACCUCCUGAUUGGCCUUCUCUAAGGCUGCAAUUCUACAUAACAAUUCAAGUUUUUCUUUGUCAAAUAAUUGAGAAUUAGAAAUUGUAUCAUCUGCAGCACAAGAAAUCUGUUUUUCAAGAAUCUCAAUUUUAUCCUGCAAAGAAAGAUUAGCCUUUUCCAAAUUUUCAAGUUUGGAUUCAUAAACUUCCCCUUGAAGCAUAUAGUCCUCUGCACAAUGUCUGAGUCGUUGUUCUAGAGAAUCAACCUUAGUCUGCAAAACACCAUUAUCUUCAAAACAAACAUUAUCAGAAAUAGUAGACACAUUACAAUUAGCUUUAUUAAAUUUUUCCUGCAAAUCAAUAUUAGCUUUUUGUAAUCUUUCACAUUCUUUUGUAGAAAGUCUGUAAAGAAGAGCCCAAUCACUAUUGCUAACAACAUACAAAUUAUCAUCCUUUUCAAAAUCAGAUUUUGAUUUUGUAGAUUUAGACAAUUUAGCAAUAAAAUUAUUAUGACCAGACUCAUGAACCAUCAUUGCACUCAUAGGAUCGUUAGCGUGAGCCAUGACGCUCCUUAACCAGCCCCCAGCGACUGAUACCAAUUGAGAAACUACAAAUAGUGCUAGUAUAACAAAUGUGAAUUCAAACAAGCAAACAAGCAAUACGCAGAAAGUAAAUAACACACAGAGAUUUUUAACGUGGUAAAACCCAAACAGGGAAACGUCCACGGUUGUCCUCGCGACAACAAAAUAAUCCACUAGAUGAAAAGAGAUGUACAAACCUAUCAACUACCUGCACUCACUGCGAGUUGACACUACCGGUUAUCUCUAACACCUUGACUUCACCAGAGCACCUUGAUGUACGCACAAGACACUCGACUUCUUGAUGAACACACAAGAAGACUCGAAGCCGAACUAUGAAACAAGCUUACACCAGAGUUCCUUGAUGAACACACAAGGAUACUCGACUUCUUGAUGAACACACAAGAAGACUCGAAGCUAAAUCACUAUUCAAUAAUAUAGAAGAAGGUGAACAGGAAAGAAGAAAGAAGAAGAUGAAUGGGGAAGAAGAAGAUGAGUUCAAUCACCAAAACAACCUCAACCAAAACCUAAACAAACUCCAAGAACCAAGAGGUGAAUUGGACGGCCAAAGAACUCCUUGUUCUUUGGAAGAGAAACCCUAUUUAUACUUAGGGUUGAAAACCACCGAAAAUGGGCCGAAAUAGUAAAAACCCACUUUGGACGUACGUACGUCGAUAUGACGUUCGUACGUCUCCAAACGAAAAUACUCCUGCUGCCUGCUGUGACGUACGAACGUCCUGUAAAGGUUCGUACGUCCAGACCACCAGCAAUCUUGCUGCCAUUCGAUACGUACGUACGUCCUUAAGAGGUACGUACGUCCUGGACCAGAAAUCACACCAAUGACACACGACGCGAAGGCAAGGACACGGGACGACGCGCGUACAACCAGGUUUUCUUAACAAUGAACUCAAGGCGAGAUAACCAAGGACACUUUGUCACAAAAUUGAUGUCAAACCACUUCAUGCCGGUUUCAUACUUGAUAUAUUAUAGAGAUUUGACCUUUACCCCCUCCAUUUGAAAGUCGAAAUUUGAGUUACCCCCAUUUGAAAAAAUAUAGACGAUGUUACAAAAAUCAAUUUUCUUUAUUUAGUAAAUAAAAUAUUUUAUAAUGCCAAAACUACCCCUUCUUGAAUCUGAUGCUAAUUAGUACCCCCACUGAAACAUACAUAAUUAGUAAUACUCCCCGAAAUCAAUUUGUUGGGAAAUUUUUGAAUGGGAUUAAAGCUCCCAUAAUGUUCACAUCAAUCUUGUGUAAAACUGCAUAAACAUAUUUUUCAGAUUUGAAUGGAUGCCAAUAAGGAUCUAUAUUGGACAGGUUGGGAAGUUGUAGAUCUAAUGGUUUGACAAUAUUCAAAAGGCUCACUAAUUUAGUGAUUGAGAACAUUCAAAAGUUUUGAAGAUAUUGCUUGCAUAUUCAAGUAAUGGAGUCAUCUUAUUUGUAGGGAUACUAAAUACAACAAUCAAUCAAAACACGACAUAUGUCAUGUCCCAACAGUUCACUAGGUCGUCCACGAUACGACCUAACCUACUCCGACCAGAAUAACUUAAGUAUAUAACUGUUGGUGACCUCAAUGCAGACACGUGCCCUUAAUAAAUGCCUAGAGAAUAUCUUGGUUUGUUACGUACACAUGCAUUUAUUGCCAGGUAUCACGCAAUAAUAGAUGUCGGAGAAUCUGCAGGAUCCCAUGAUCUGUCCCCUCUCACCUUGUAUAAGAACAAAACUACGAUGACUUGAUCUCUAAGUUCCACUCCAUCGAGGUAGAGUACGUAGGCAAUCUCGACUUCAUCGAGGUACAACCAAAUUGAGUUGCAGGUGGAACUAAAUUGAGUUGCAAAAGAAGAUGUUGAAGAUGGGGAAGAAGAGGGGGGGGGGGGGGGUAUUGCUAAAGUUUUGGUAUAAUUUUUUUGACAUCUUCAUCCAAUGGGGGGGGUAACUGCUAUAUUUUUUCAAACGGGAGGGGGUAACUCAAAUUUAGACUUUCAAAUGGGGUUAAAUGCCAAAAUCUCUAUAUUAUAUUUUCAUUUUCAUGGUCCAUAGAACUUCCAUGUUGCAUCGAUGUUGCCGAUGAUAUUUGUUAGUGCACAUUUAGUUUUGCAUUUAGUAUCAAGCCACCAACCUGGAUUCCUGAAUUUGUCGCCAACACAAUAAAUCCAACAACUAUCAUAACAAGGAGGAUAAGCAGCUACAUAUCGAGAUUGAACUUGAAAAAUAAUAAUGAACAAUAGCGCAAAGAAAUUUAUAUAUCUAUUUUCCAUGUUUAUGUUUAUUUUUUUGUUAUUCUAUGUUGAUAUUUGGACGAGUGUAAAAGAAAGUAUAUGACUAAGUUAAAGACGAUAAUAGAUUUAUAUGACUAAGUUAAAAGAUGAUAAUAGAUGUCAAUUAAAACUUUUGAAUUAUAAUCAGUUUCAUUAUUAUUAAUUAUUUUAUUUAAAUAAAAAUAAAUAUCAGUUAAAGUGGUGACAUAAGCAAUUGUAAAAUGGUAUAUAUAUAGCUUUUACUCCCUCUAAAUAAUGUCUAUUUAGUUUAUGAUAUCGAUUGUUUUGUUUAUUCGGUUUAAGUACCACUUCUAUAUCAGUUAAAAAAAAAAAUUGUUGUGUCCAUUUAAGUAUUCUAUGCGAUAAAUCUAGAAUGUUGUUGUUAAUUAAUGUUGUAAAAAAAUAAAUUUGUUGUGUCAAUUUAAGUAUUCUAUUUAGUUUAUGAUAUCGAAUGUUUGGACGUAUUAGUAGGGGUGCAAUUCGAGCCAAAUGAGCCGAGCUAGGGUAUGCUCGAACUCGGCUCGCUACUAACCGAGCCGAGCUCAAAAUGAAGACCGAGCUGAACUAUGAGCUCGAGCUCAGCUCACGAGCCAACUUUAAAACUCGAGCUCGUCAGCUCGCUCGGUUCGGUUUGGCUCAUUUCGGCUCAUUUCAGCUCGUUUCCUGGGCUCGGAUCAGCUCGUUAGCUUAAUAUUUCGGUUUUUUAUGUUUGUAUUUAUAUAAAGGGUAAUAUAAUAAUAAUUUCACGAGCUGCUCGGCUCGGCUGGUUUAGAGCUCGGGCUCGUGACGAGCUGAAAAACCUGCUCGAACUCGGCUCAUUUAGGUAAACGAGCGAGCCGAGCCGAGCUCUUAUCGAGCCGAGCCCGAGCCGCUCGGCUCAAAUUGCAGCCCUACGUAUUAGCGCUAACUACCACUUCUAUAUCGGUUAAUUAAUGUUGUUUGAUUCGGUUAAGUAAUUAUAUAUAUAUUUUUUCUAAAAAAAAUUAACUUAAAUAAAACUAAUCACAGUUGGAAUGGUUGGCUGUGAUGGAAUCUUUCCAAGUUUUUUAAACGACGGAAAUUUUUAUUUGUUUGGGUUUAAUAAAAGUACACAACUAAAAUAUGGAUUGUUAUUUAUAUGGAAUUAAAAUAAAGGGUUAGAACAUAAUUUUUAUAAUGGAAAUUAUAUUAAACUAAGGGUUAAAAAAUGAAUUCCAUUAUAAUUUUUUUUUUUUUAUUUUCUAGCUUCUUCUUAAAUAUAGGCACUUACCACAAAAAGUGAAGAAAAAACAAGGAAAACUAAGAGGAACAAAAAAGACUAAAAACCAUCGUAAAUCUAUAUCUUAAAUGCAAUUUAUUUAGUAAUUAUAAUAGAAAAAAAGAUUUAUUUAUUUAUUGUUGAUUUCAUUGAUUAGUAAUAUUUCUUUGUUGUUGGUGUGUGAAAGGACUUGCAGCCUAGUUUUAUAACACGUUUGUCCUCUACUUUUGUGUAGAUUUUUUUUUUUAAUAAAAAACUAUUUUAUUGAUAAGCUCAAAGAAUUACUCAAAAGUAUAUAGGACAAGCGCGCUACAAACUGCGCUGCAAGCCCUUUUUAAAUACGCCAAAUGUCAGGUGCUCGCCACACCACGCGUCUUGCGCAUAAGGCACAAAAAUGGUAUUGCGCCCAGGUGCGACUACCUUGGAUAUAACCAUCUUCCUAGUAUAAAGUUUAGUAAAGAAGUAAUUGAAAUUCCACAUCCAAGAUGUAACAGAACCUUUUUCAGGAAAUCUGAUAACCUAUGAAGACUGUACUAAUCAGUUCACGUCUUAAGCUUGUCUUAUGGCCAAUAUAAAGAAACAAUAACGGAGUGGGGAUUCUUCAUCCUUAAUCUCGAAAACUUUUGCUUCUCUGUGAAAGCAGGUGGUGGUAUGAGUGGCAGGCAACUUUUAAACGUGAUUACUUCAACAAUCCGUGGAGGACAAUUCUUUCGUUUAUUAGUGCUAUUCUCAUUAUCGUCUUUACCAUGACAGUAUGACACAAACUAUUUUUUCCAUUGUCGUCAUAUAUAUACGAAAGUUUUAUCCUUGGCGCUAUAAUCAUCGAUGCCAAUGUUUUGGCAGAUUAUACAUUAAGGUGAAUGAAAUUGAGUGCUUUGGUACUUUGGUAGCACAGACAGUUCAAAGGAUAAUGGCCAAGAUGAAAAUUUUCUCUUCAACAAAAUCUGCCAACAGAAUAAUCUCAAAAGCUUUUUUUUUCUCUACACUUUCAUCCUUUGCUCUGUAAUAGCCUUGGCAGAUCCUACAUAAGGUGAAUGAAAUUGAUUGCUUUCGAAGCACAGACAGUUCAAAGGGUAGCACUAUAGGGUUGUAGGUAACUUGGUAUAUUGCUAGUGUAAGAAUAUCUGUUAUGUUGAAUUGUUGAUGCUCUAAAAGCUUUCUCUGUUCUUCAAGAUUAUAUAAAAGUUCUUUAAAAUAAACAAUCUAUCUAUCUAUCUAUCUAUCUUCUAUCUACUAUAUUAAACGUCAAAAAAAUUCGAGGGCAUUUCCCGGACGCACAGAAUCGCUCCUUUAGAAUUUGUUCCCAUUUUGAGACCAAAAUACCCUUAUGGGCCUGGUUUUUUAGACUUUGCACAUUUAAACCUUAGCACCAAGAGUACGAUUUCUUUUUAGCGUUUCUUCUUCUUCUUCUUCUUCUUAAUUGCCACUUCUCCUUCCUUCGUCAAACCGACGAUCUACUUCUUCUUCAACCACUUCGUCUUGGUUUCCAAAGGUUAGUCUCCCAUCGAUUUUUGUAAUAAUUUUAUGGAAAUUGGCGAUGCAGAUUUGAAAGAGAUCAGUUAUUUUAACCAUUUUGUAUGCUUGUGAUUUUGUAAUUCUAUGGAAAUUGAUGCAGAUUCUAUAGAGAUGAAGAGGUGCUUGAUUAAUGAUUUGGUUUGGUGAUCACUUAUCGAGUUUGCGAGACUAGGAAGCUUUUCCAAAUAUAUAUUAUGUUUGAAGAAAUGCUAAAGAGAGGUAUUCAUUUAUUCUAGAUUGAUUUAUUGAAGUUUGCUACAUCACUGAACAUAUAUGGUUUCUUUUGAUUGUCAUAGAUGCGUUCAUAAAAAUAUAUAUAUUAUGUUUGAAGAAAUGCUAAAGAGAGGUAUUCAUUUAUUCUAGAUUGAUUUAUUGAAGUUUGCUACAUCAUUUGAACCCAUAAAGAUCUGAUUUGGGCAUUCUCUCUCUUCACCAGAAUCGAGCUUUAGAAUUUUUUUUUCACAUAUCCUGACGAAAAAUACCCUUUUGAGCAUGGUUUUUCAGUAAUUUCGCAUUUAAUUACUAAUUUAUAUUUGAACCCCCUGGACAAAACAAUAUCUCUCUUUUCAUCAUUUUUCAUCGUAACCUUCUUAAUUCAUCACCUCAAUUUUGACACUCCUCCACUGCACAGGACACAGGUUAGUAGUACUAUCUUCUUAAUGUUUGUAAUCCAACUUAUUUUUUUUUGCAACUCAUUUUGAAAAUUCUCAAACGUAUAGGAGUAGUUAUGAUAUUCAAAAAGUAUUCUUUGUUUGAAUAGUCUAAUUUUAGAUUUGCCUGAUAUUCAAAUAGUAUUCUUUGUUUGAAUAGUCUGAUCGACAUACUCUGCUGGCAGUAUUUUUUACCUUUUCAAACGUCUAUUAUUUUGAUUGGUAGGGCUUCUCUGUUUCGGCUAGCAAGAAACUCAUUCAGAAUGACAUAAUGGUUAAGGAAACGAGAGAAGCUCGACAAUUGUUUGACAUAAUGCCUGAACAGGUGUAAGUUGUCUUCUCUCUUUUAGGAGUUUUGAAAUCCUGAGCAUUUAGAUUUGUUCUAACCUCUUCUGAAGUUGUGAAUUCUGCAAUGAAUGUUUCUUAGGGUAGUGAGUGUUAAGGAAAAGGUCUCCAUAUCCUUGAGCUUGCUUCGAGAUUCAAAAAAGCUCAAAUCAGAUCUAUAUAUCGUACUCACACUUGCAACAUGUGCAUUUUUUCUAUCGAAUCUCGAAGCAAGCUCAAGGAUGAGAUGCAGAAACGUGGACAACACGAGGAGUUGGGAUUGCAUAACCCAAGUUCAAUAUGAGUGUAUGGUAUUGACUUCAUGGCACAUUAAUAUUAGUUCUCCAUCCAGGCAACUGUGGUCGGCGCAUGUAUCGUUCAAGACCGCGAAUAAAUUCAGUGGCUAAGGGGACAUUUCUCCCAUGGUUGGUAGUUUCUUGAAUUUCUCGGACUGAUAAAGGGACAUCUUUUGCUUCCUUCUUAUGUUCUUCUCUUUCUUCUGUCCACUACUUCACACUUCUUCGUUUUCGUUUCGAAAGGUUAGUCUCAACAGUUUCUAAUUCUACAAAAAUUGAUUCAAAUUUGAUCUGUUCAUACUCUUUUAGGUCAGUUAUUUACACUAUUUUGAAGCAUAUUCUAUGGAGAUGAAGAGGUGCUUGAUUGAUGAAUUGGGUUGGUGAUCAUUUCGUGCGAAAACAGGAAAGUUUUCCCAAGCAUAUAUUAUAUUUUAAGAAAUGCUCCAGAGAGGUAUUCAUUUAUUAAUUUGGUGUUUCCAGGAUGAAAUUGAUUUAUUGAAGUUUUCUCCGUCACUGAAUAUAUGGUUUCUGUUGAUUGUCAUACAUGUGUUCAUGAGAAAAUAAGAUUUUCAAAUACAUGCAUUGAGAUCGUCAAGAGUGCGAUAUAUAAGCAUUAUGUCAUCCUUAAAAUUCCAAGUGUGUUUUUAUUUCAUGAUCAGUUUGAAUUUUGUUCAAUAGAAAUGUACAGCUGCAUAUAGAACAAACCCUUGAAUGAUAGAGAACAUUUAUAAUACUGUUUCCCCUAGCGACCCUUUACUUUCCUCACACAUACAAGCAAAGGUAUUUGUUACACCAUUGGGCAUAUAUGGAUUUUUUAUUUGUCUUAGAAUGUAUAGCUACAUUGCUCUCCAGUUUUAUUCCUCGACAAAAGCCUUGGCAGAUUAUAUUCUUUCAAAAUAGAUAAUCGAACUUAGAUCUAAUAUGGUUAUCUAACUUAAUGAUACUAAUUGUUGUGUAUUGGUGUAGAUAUAACAUCUCGACAAAAGAUGGAGAUUACUAAGAAUCUUGGGAAUCCAUAAAUGGUUGACACUCAAGUAAGCCUAAACAAAUAUCAAUUUCUCUUAGCUUAUCACUAUGUGCUAAUGAUUUCGUUUGAAAUGGUUGCAAUUCAAGAUAAACUAUAAAAUUCUUAGAUUGGUUUGCUUAUAGUUGCAUUUACCAUAGUUUAAAAUACCGAAUCCGGGCGAAAUUUCGGAUUCAGAAAAACGGUAUAUUCCGACAUUCCGACCCUCGAAACAAAUAUGUCACUUGAAAUGUCAGGAAUAUUCUCGGUUAUUCCCGAAAUUUAAAAUGCUGAUUCUCUAAAAACCGGCAUAUUCUGCCGAAAUUUCGGGAAAUAUGUCGGCAUUUUUAACCAUGACAUAUACUACAUUAAUGUAAUUCUACUAUUACUGAAAAUCUCGCAUGUUGGUUGAAAUUCAAACUAUCUUCAAGAAAUUAGAUGCAGAUCCAACACCUGAUUUAUUUGUGAGGUAUCAAGUAUGAAUGCAUUACUGAUUCCUCUAUGAUAUAUCCAGACUCUAGACAAUAUUGCCUUUUAAACUCUACAAUUGAAUGCAAAAGAAUUUUCGUAUUGAGCCCUUUUUUUUCAUCAUAUAUGAUUGAUUAUAUGUUUGAGAUGGUGAUGAAAUACUUCACGAUUUAGAAAAUUGGAUGCAUGUUAUAGAUCUGAUGGUAAGUAACUUUUGGUUUUCAAGCUCAACAUAGACCUUUUCCUCUUCCGCAAAAUCUUCUCCCAUUCCUUCCAUCACUUACCCUUUCUUCUGCACACAUCAAUCUUUUCCCUUUUCUUAUUUCAAUCAGUUGUCUUUUUUCUAAAUCUAUUCAAAUUUUUCUUCUUCUCAAUAUUUUAAACAAUCUAAACCAGAUUAAUCUCAGCUUUCAAAAAACAGGUAACACUUUGUUGAAAAACCUAUGUUGUUAUUCAUGUUUUCAUUUCGAUCGUUUUGAGUCACAGGAUGGAUUUUAAUUUAAAUGACAACAUUCUAUGUUUACAAUUGAGUGGAAAGCCAUUGGAAUCUGUUAAUCUUUACUGCACUGUUAUGCGUAUACGCCAUGCAGGCUCUAUGUGUGUCUGCAAUUACAAUGGUGUUCUAUAUAUGUAAUUUGACUGAUGAUCCUUUUACAUCAUGUCCUUUUCUGUUGAACUGACAGUUUCAAAUUAAUAGUUAUACAUGUGUGAACUGUCUGUAUAAGAUCUUCUUGAUGUUCUUACUUUAGACAUUAUUUUGUUUAAUGUGGAAUUAAAGAAUUGAACUCAUAACCUGUUAUGUAUUUUCUGUACAGAUUUGAGGAAUUUUUGUUCUUGGAUGGACUAAUUUCCGAUUCAUUUUUUUGUUUGAUGGAUUAAAUCAUCAAGUCACCCACAUAUAUAGGUCCAUUCUUGAUUCUUUAAGCUUUGGAUCAAGAAAGUCGGCCAGUCGCUAGGCAUGUUUUUUGAUGAAGUAUCUUCAUUCUGCUUUUCAUACUAUAAGUUUUUAAAAUAAGUUCGGUUAACUCAUAUUUUUUUUCGAUAGCAAAGAAUUGUCAAUAGAGAUCUAAAUAAACUCGGUCUCUCAGCUUAAAACUUGAUUUUGUGAAGGAAGUUGAAUAUUGCCCCAUGUUCAUGUCCUUCAUUAAUUUAAGGUAAAAUUUUGGAUACCCGACAUAAAGUUAUAUAUUUCUUUGCUUGCAUAUUAUGAAUUUCAUUGAAUAGAAAAGUAGGUGUUGAAUUGACAUCAGAGAAAAAAUGGAUCAUUCUUAUAUUUUGUUGUUUGAUUUCUUGAGUCAGACAACCUACCACUUAAUAGUUUUGGGUUGCUUUAUUUCAUUUACCACCGUAUUUCAUUUCAACCUAGAUCUUUAUCCACAUCUCAUUCUGUUAAACCUACAUCUUUUGGUUGUCAAUUCUGAUAAUUAAAGAUUAAUGCAUGUUUAACAUAUUUAUGUCCAAUAAGCAACAAUGCAACAUGGCAUUGAUGCAGGUAGUUACUACACUAUAUUCUUAUUGUUAUUCAAAAGAAGAAAGUUUGAGUCCACACAUCACACAUUUUUAUUUAUGCAAGAGGAGUUUUGUUUGUUAACAAUGAGAGCAAGUAUACCAUAGAUAUUUUUAUAGUUCUACUUCGGUAUUAUUUUCUUACUGUAGGAUUUAUAGACUGAAAAGUUCAUGUAUAGAUUGAGAACGAGCCACUUCGAAUGGUCCAGAUUUCAGAUUUGAUAGUAGGGAUAAAAAUUGAUUAUUAAUAAUUGUUCUUUCCCUUCUUGUGCAGAUUUGAGUGAACGGUUGUACGGUAUGGUUUGAUCUCACUACCUCCGAAAACUUGCUACCACAUUCCACAAGGAAAGGUUAGUAUUUACUAUUAGAUAGCUUUGUUUUUCUUUUUCAUUUUAUCUUUUAUCCAUUUUGAAUUCCUCUCCAAAAACAUACUACAACUUCUUCUCUUCCCCCACAACCUCUUCUUCUUAGUUUGCACGAUAUUGUUUUCGUAAAUUUUGCACAGGUUAGCAUACUAAUAUGGUGUUUUUGUAUUUUUCUAAAUGAUCCAUGACAUGAAUUCGUAACAACGAUUGUAAACAUAGUUUUAGUCUUAUAUUAACUCUACGACAUCCAAGAAUCCUAUUACUGUGAGGGUAUGCUAGCGAUGGAUAUGUCACAGAGAAAAUUUAGUGUCAUUAGGUUUAUUGGUCUUCUAGCGAUGGAUAUGUCACAGAGAAAAUUUAGUGUCAUUAGGUUUAUUGGUCUUCAAUGUGAACUGUAGGCUGGCCAAGGGAAAUUGAUUGUUUUAAUGUAUACAUAGAAAAACAAAUAUUUUGCACUGAAAAGAAGAAUUGCAUCAUGCAUUUCAACAUAUAGUUCAAAAGAUGUUGUAAAUCUUCUAGAAAUACAUUUUGCUCUCUUUUUAAUUACAGUUUUCUUUCAUUGCAGGCCCUUCCAUCAAGUUGCCUUCAAGUAAGGGUUUUCCUAGGUGAUUUAUUUCCUUUUUCAAUGGAUGAUCCAACAUAUUUGUUAAAGCUAGCGUGGGAAGCAGGAAAACAACUUAUCAUUUAAGAAGUGGAAGUUGUACCACCACGGAAUAUGAAGGUGCGUUUAUAAAUCUUAAAUUGAUUAUAGAUUUUCUCCAUCUAUUUGGUGUAGUAUUAGUUAUGGAUUUUAAUAGUCGAGAAUCUGUGCUUUUGUAUACAAUUUGUAUUGUCAUUUUAAGCAUAGGUGAAAAUUUCGAAUAAACUCGAAUAUCCGACCCUUGAAAAAUCGGUAUAUUCUGCGAAUAUCCGGACCCCAAUGUCGGAAUUGGAAGGUUUGGCAAAAUGGUUUUCGCGAAAUAUUGCUCGAAUAUUCGCGGAUAUUCACGAAAAAUUCGAAUAAUUGUAUUAAAUAAAUGUGGGAAUUAUAUUUAAAAAUAAAUGUGUUAAUUUCAAAUUCGAAAAUUUUGUAAUUUUCGUACUUUUCGAAUAUUUCGCAAAUAUUCGUAAAAAUCCGGUCGGCAUGGGGAGGUUUAUGUUUUGUUUAUUAUUCGUAUGCCGUACCGCUCCGAAUUCCCAAAAAUCGGCAAAAUUGGUGAAUAUCCGCCCGAUAUUUUCGAUUUUUUCACCUAUGAUUUUAAGAACAUUUUUUUUAACGAUAAGAACAUUGCAUUCUCAAAUAUUUCGUUGCUAGCACUAUGCAUCACUUUUCUCAAUAUACACAAUAUUUUGUUUUUCGUUUGUUUUAUAGGAGUAUAAAAGAUUUUGGGAAGUAGGUUGAUGGUAGAAAUCUAAAAAACUAAAAUUAUUGCGUUAUCAAAGAGUGUUUUUGUUAGGAUAAAUCAGGGUUUUUUCCUUCCAAAAUUCUUCUUUAAAUCACGCCUUAGAUGUUUUAUGAAUCACCUGUUUGUGAAAAUGGAUACUCCCUCCAUCCCAAUUUGAUAGUCCUAUAUUCCAUUUUAAGUUGUCCUAAAAUGAUGGGAACUUUCUAUAUUCGUAUGCGUAUUAAUUAGGCUAAUUUGAAUUUUUUACUUGAUUACCCAUUCUUGAAAAGAGUGCAAAUAGAAAAUGAUGUUAGUAGUAUUUUAUUUGUAAGUCAUCAAAUAAGGGUAAAGUUGGAAAUAUAGUUAAUUAUAUCUAUAAUAAAUGACGUGCCCUUAAAAAGUUGGGUUUUCUAUAAAGGACUAUCAAAUUGGGACAGAGGGAGUAUAUUUUUGUGUCCCAAAAUUACUUGCAUAUUUGCUUUUGAAACGUCAAUUCAAGAAAUUGAUCCAAUAAAUAGUAUUAGAUGUAUAUAUAAAUGUUCUUAGGCUUCCCACUUCAUCUCAUUAAAUGGGAUACCAUUUGUUGUUCUCAAAGUACAGGUCGCCCUUCAACAUCUUUUGAACUUUCUAUGUCCAAAACUUUUUUUCUUUUCAUCACCCCUAGAGAAACCAUUCCUCUCUUCUACCAAAAUCCAUUUCGUAAUCUUAUUUAAUCUCUUAUGUUGUGAUACCUUUAUUAAAAUCCAUUUCGAGUUUUUGAAAAUUUGAUAUCUUAUGUUUGGAAGAAUAACCAUAUUUUCUUUUGGACUUCCUAACCUUUAGAGUUAAAGCUGAAAUUUUGAAAAUCAAUAUAGUUUGACGUUUGAACCAUAUAUCCAUAUAUUGCAUGCUUUUUUAUUAGCAUAAUUGAUAUGUUUGAUAGACCCAAAAUUAUUGACGGACUUUGUGAAACUAAUUCUGCUGGUAUUAUUAGAGGUAUACAGAUGUUCUUAAGAAAAAUAUGUUUUAAAUACCAUUGAAAAUGUUGUUAUAUUUAUGUUUAUAUUUUGCAGAGGACUUCAGCUAUAAGCCAUUAGCCAUGUAUAUGGAAGGGGCACUUCUUCAAUUUCUAUAUUCAAGUAUCACUUAUGUCGAUUACAUCCAGUUUCAAUUCCUCUGCAAUAGAGUAAGGCAUGAUACAAGAACAAAGCAAGGCACAAUCCCUUCUUUGACGGCUCAUCUAGAACACUAGAGGUAAGCCAUCAUUCAGAAAAAUUGAAAUCUCUUUUUACAUACACUCGUGACAACCUUUUUCUUUUUACUUUUUUCCCCCCCUUAUUCUUAGAUUCAAUGAUUUAGUAGUUAUUUUAUUUUUGAUAAAUAGGAAAUUUAUUGAUUAAGAGAGAGUACAAAGACAACUACAAAAUUGAGUGAGGGAGGUAGUAGGCCCCAGUUCUGUUUUGGGAUGUUUUGAGAUUGGAUUCUACAGAAUUAGGAUUUAAACAAACAAUAAUCCAGUUUUUAAGGGUUUUAUCGAUUUAGAAGAUACCCAUUCAAGUUGAGAUUUAAUUUUAUAGACAUGUUAAACAUGUACUUAAAAUGAAUUGAGUUUUUAGACUUUUAUGAGUUUAUUGGCUAGAAUUCUUGGAUGGGUGAGUAAUGUAAGAAACUAGAGAACGAGAGAAGCCUUUUAUGGUACAAUUAAUAUUCAUGUAAUAAUGCUAUUUAAAGACAGGCUACGCCCGAGAUAAUAACCAAUUCACAUUGCUAUUCAAGGCGUAAGACCCAAACGACUUGGGAAAAAGGUUGCCCUGGAGAUACUAAUGUAAUUCAUAUCAUUUCAACUUAAGAGAGAAGUACUAAGAAUCUUGGGAAUCCAGUAAUGGUUUGCCCAGAAGAUAAGCUAAAGAUUCAUGGAAGUUUGAAGAGAGGUAAUGGAAGCCUUCUAAGUUGUAUCCCUUUCUUUGAUGUUUUAAUUGAAACCUUAAGCAAUUAAAAAAAAAAAAAUAUUGUGUAUAGGAGCAAAAAAAAAUUGUUUAUCACUCUUAGUGAUGGGAUGGUAAGUUAAGUGAGAUGCCAUCAUAUGAUGAUUACCAUUUAGUUCCUUAGAGCACUUACAGUAACGAAAGAUAGUUGAUGUUAUUUAUUAUUUUCUACUUUAUUAAUUUUUAUAUGUUUGACGGAGUUUGAAAGCGAAUAAAUAACCCAUGCAUUUAUUUUGGUCUUUUAGAAUUCUUAGAGGUAAAGCUAACAUGCUUAAACAUUAGUCAUUUGACACAUAUUUUCUCAUCAAUAUUUAUUUGAACACAUUCAUCCUAUGAUUGCAUGUCUAAAAAAGAGAUAUUGACUCAAUUUUUUGAAAAUUGAUGGAUUUGAGUGUCCCCUGAAAUUAUUGAAUCAUGAAAUUACUGAUAGCCUAUAUGGCUUAUACAAAAUCUCUAAAGUUUUUUUAGGAGAACCUUAUUUUUCAAUGUCAUUAUAGUAUCUCUCUAAAAUAUAAUUAUAGAAACUACUUGUGUUGUGUUGUUGAAUCUCCUCCUCUACUCACAGAAAUUCACUACCUACAUCUUAUAUUCUUGCUGCUGUAAUGUUCAAGUGGACUUUUCACUGAUUUUCAGGCUAUCCAAGGAAUCACUAUUUAGUCUUAUGAUAUUGAACGCGAUCCAACACAAGGCUCUGUUAAAGCUAUUUUCGUACGCUAAGCUAUGCAAGAUUUGUUGGGAAGGAAAGUUAGAAUUGGCUAGCACAUAACGUCGAUUCCAGCAAGAAAUUUUGUUAAUUUUAGACAACUUCAAACAUUACUUUAAAACUGUUUGUAUGACUGAUACAAUCUAUUAAUGUGCUAGAUAUGUUACUAAAAGUGUUGUAACUUCUCAUGUUUAAAUUGAAUCAGUAAAACUUUGUAUCUUUUUGAAAAAACCCAAGUUGCCUAAGAUAUUUGACAAUUGUUUCAAAUAAUAAUUCAGAUUGUUACUUGGUUUCACAAUUGUUAAAUGAUUAGAGGCAUGCAAGAGUAGUAACAAAAUAUGCAUCUUCGACAAAUUAGUGCAUUAUCAAGAAAUGUUAAAUAUGCUAAACAUGCUAUCAUGAAUUCAUCGUAUAAUGUUUGCAACGUAAUGGAUUAUAUUUGAGUUCUUAGAUAUUUUUUAUUACCUUCGUGAUUUAUUUAAGUGCGUAGUGACAUCUUAAUUUUAUAACGUCCAUUUUCAAUUAAAAAUCUUAGCAAUUUACACCAUUAUGAACAUAUAUUAUUAAUAAUGAUAGCAUUGCAAAUGCCCAUUUUAUGUUUCAUUCAUUCGGUGUGACUUAACCGAGUAAAUCAUGAUAUAAUCCAUCCAGCUAAAUAAUCAUCGCUUAGCCCGUGCGUAGCACGGGUUCACCACUAGUAAUUUAAUAUUAAUCAAAACCUUUCUUCUAAAUCAAUUCUAACAAUAUUUGAAGUCGUUUUUUUCUGCACCCAACAAACAAAAAUACAAAAAUUAAAUAUUCUUGCAAAAUAUUCUUGCAAAAUUAAAUAUUCUUGCAAAAUAGUUGAUGCCGGCCGUGAGUCUUUGUACCCAACAGUUCCAUUUUCCACUAGUUUUCCUUUCGACAUUUUAAAUUCAGAACACUGUUUAUCUCUUGUCGUGGCUAGACAUUUGGAAAGUCCCUCGCUUGAGGUGGAGGGUAUUUCGGCUGAUUUGAUAUCGGCCGAGGAGUUUUAUGGGAGCCCCCGCGAGGUGACUCCCAUUAGUGUAGUAAGGGGUCCCAUUGAGGGAGAUGAGACCCAUAGGGCUUGGUUAGAAGCACAUAGGGAAGAGUUUUGCGCGAUAUCUGGUCUCACUCAUCAAGGGAACUGUGAUGAGACUUUAGAGCUCCUUAGUGACAUCAUGGGGACUAGGAGCGUUCCGAGCUUACACCAAGACUUGAGCUUGGUGCUAGCUCAACAGUUUGAUGGUGAUAGUUUGAGUUUAAGAAAGGCUACCCGCACAGCCAGAGAGCUUGGACGGUUAAGUUCGGGGGUUAACUAUGGUGAGAAUUCUCUUAGUAGCAAGAGGAUUGGGCGAGUGUCUAAGUUUCCCAUAUGACGACACCAAAAAUAUUGUCUUGGAAUGUCAGAGGUUUGGGUGAUGUUAGGAAAAGAGUUGUUGUUAAGGACUUCGUGAGUCGAUCGCGCGUUGUUAUUGUCACGCUUCAAGAAACCAAACUUGAAGUAAUAGAUUUUGGGGUUAUUAGAGAUAUUUGGGGGUUGAAUAAUGUUGGGUGGAUCACACUCCCCUCUGUGGGUACCGUUGGUGGCGUGUGUGAUGUGGGAUAGAGACGUUAUCGAUAUGGAUGAUUAUCGCAUUGGUGUCUUCUCUGCCACCAUUGUUUUUAGGUUGGUGGGUGAUAAUGAUAGUUGGAUGUUCUCUGGAGUGUACGGGCCUACUAAUAAAAGUAGUCUCCGUGAGUUGUGGGAAGAGUUGGAUAAUGUUCGCGUGUUUGCUAGUAGCAUUCCGUGGUGUGUGGCAGGGGAUUUCAAUGUAGUGAGAUUUACGGAUGAAAGGAAUCGAGGGUGUACCACUGAUAGCCAUAUGCGGAGGUUUGCAGAUUUUGUUAGCAAACAUGAUUUGGUUGAUCUCCCUUGUACAGGAGGGAAGUAUACGUGGUUGGAUAACAAAGAGGUGCCCACCUUGGUUAGAUUAGAUAGGUUUCUGGUUGAUUGUCUUUGGGAUGGGAAAGUAAGGGAAUUGGUCCAAACUAUCCAUUCAUCUGGGGUCUCGGAUCAUAGGCCUAUUACUUUGGAGACCAUAAGUAACCCGAGGAGACCGUCGCCGUUUAGGUUCGAAUUGAUGUGGCUCAUAGACCCAUCUUUCGAGGACUUAGUUAAGGGUUGGUGGAUGGAGAAGAGCUUCACGGGUAGACCGAGUUGUGCUUUUGCUAGAAAGUUCAAGUUCCUCAAAUCCAAACUUAGAGUGUGGAAUAGGGAGGUCUUUGGGUGUGUGGAGCUCAAAAAGUCUAAGUUAGAGGCGUAAUUACUUGGACUUGACACCGUGGAGGAAACUCGUCCCUUGUCGCUUGGCGAAAUUGAGAGGAGAGCUGUAGUGAAGAAUGACCUCCAAUUGACCGUCCUUAUGGUGGAGGUUCAGUGGAAACAGAGGUCGAGGGAGAAAGAUGUGCGAGAAGGGGAUCAAAAUACCAAAUAUUUUCAGUCCCUCGCUAAGGCUAGGCGGAGGAUGAACUCGUGCACCACCCUCAAUAUUGGGGGUACCCUUGUUGAGGACGAGGACCUCAUUCGGGAGGAGAUUGUGAGGUUUUACACUAAGCUCUAUACUGAACCCCCCAUAUCUAGGCCUCUUCUAGACAAUCUGGACUUCGGGGAGUUCUCUGUUAAAGAUAGAGAUGAACUAGAGAGACCCAUCUUGGAGUGUGAGGUUCUUAGUGCGUUAAAAGAGAUGGAGGGAGAUAGGGCUCCCGGGCCAGAUGGUUUUCCUGUAGAAUUUUUUAAGAAGUUUUGGGGUAUUCUUAAGGACGAGUUGAUGGCUGUGGUUAAGGAUUUUGAACUACACUGUUUUCUAGAGUACAACCUUAAUCACACGUUCAUUACUCUCAUUCCGGUGGAUAUUGGAGAUUUCAGACCUAUCAGCUUGGUUGGGACAACCUAUAAGCUCAUCUCCAAAAUCCUCUCAAUUAGGCUCAAAAGGAUUCUUGAAAAGCUCAUUUCGGAGGGGCAAGGAGCCUUUGUGGCGGGAAGGCAAAUUCUAGAUGGGGUUCUUAUAGCCAAUGAAGCCAUUGAUGAUAGGAGGAGAUCUAAUGUACCGGGUAUUAUUUGUAACAUGGACUUCUCCAAAGCCUAUGAUCAUGUUUGUUGGAGCUUUAUUGAUUACCUCCUUGGGCGUAUGGGUUUCGGUAGGAUUUGGAGAAGUUGGAUUCGUAAGUGCAUCUCCACUGCAUCUUUCUCUGUCCUUGUUAAUGGCUCCCCGGCUGGCUGGUUUAAGAGCUCGCGUGGUCUCAGGCAGGGGGAUUCACUAUCUCCUUUCUUGUUUAUCAUUGUGGGUGAAGCUAUUAGAAGGAUCACCAGGAGAGCCAAUGACUGGGGGGUUUUGUCUGGCUUUAAAGUGGGUAGGGAUUAGAUUCUAGUGUCUCAUCUCCAAUUUGCUGAUGACACUAUUUUCUUUCUUAACAAUGAGGUGAACCAAUUGAGAUAUCUGAGAGGUCUUUUGGCUUGUGUUGAGGCGGUGUCUGGCCUUAAAAUCAACCUUAGGAAGAGUAAGGUGUUUUGUGUGGGGGAUCAUUUUGAUAACUCUGUCUAUCUGGCUGGAGUGUUGGGUUGUGCUUCUGGCGAGCUACCAACCUCCUACCUGGGACUACCGUUGGGAGCUAACUACCGAUCUAGUACUAUUUGGGACCCUGUGGUGGAAAAGUUUGAGAAGAAGCUCGCAGCAUGGAGGGGGCGUUACUUGUCCAAGGCGGGCAGAGUCGUUCUUAUUAAGAGUAGUCUUGCUAGUUUGCCAGUUUACUUUAUGUCCCUUUUUCGGGCGCCGGCCAAGGUGGCAGAUCGCAUAGACAAACUUAUGCGCGAGUUUUUGUGGGGGAGGUCUGAGGAUAUUCAUCAUUACCACCUAGUUAGUUGGGAAAGGGUUUCUGCCACUAAGCUCCAUGGUGGCUUAGGGCUUAAGAAGACCAGGGUGAUGAAUAGGGCUUUACUGUCCAAAUGGUUGUGGAGGUUUAGCAAGGAACAUCGGCGUUUGUGGAGAUGUGUUAUCGUCUCCAGACAUGGCGUGGAUGCUUUGGGUUGGUAUAGCAAACAAGUAUCCAUCCCAUAUGGUUGUGGGGUUUGGAAAGGUAUCAUGAGAGAGCUUGAGGACUUCAAGCUCAACAUUAGAUUUAGUAUUGGUAGAGGGGAUAGAGUGAGAUUCUGGGAGGAUGUUUGGUCAGGGCAUAGUCCCUUGAGUAGGGACUUUCCUGAUCUUUAUGCCAUGACAAAUUGUAAAAACUUUACCUUUAAUAAUUUUGUUCUAGUGGAAAAUGGAAAUGUUUCAUGGGUUCUUAGCUUCAGACAGGCGUUCAACGAUUGGGAGUUUGAUGACUUAACUGCCUUAUUGGCCCGGAUUGGAUCCCCACCGAUGCCUACUCCCCAAGAGGACAAGCUAGUAUGGGUCCAUGAGCCCAAAGGUUGUUUCUCUGUUAAGUCUUGGUAUCCUACUUUACUUCUUGUGUCUCCCCAUUACCCACCACCUUUGCCUCAUCCUAGAUUCUCUUGGAAAUAUUGUUGGGGGGCCAAAAUUCCUCCUAGGGUUGCUUUCUUUUCUUGGUGUACUAGUCUUGGGAGUAUUCUUACCAUAGAUAAUUUGCGCAGGAGGGGUAUGAUAAUUGUAAAAAAAAUUUCUUUGUGUUAUGAGUCAGGGGAGUCGAUAUGUCACACUCUCAUUCAUUGUCGGUUUUCUUACUCUAUUUGGGGAUACUUUGUUAAAUCUACUUCUUUAACGUGGGUAGGGCCUGAGUCGGUUAGUGAUCUUCUUUUGAUGUGGCGUCAAUUAGCGGGCUUAUCCCAGAUUAGAAAAAGAAUUUGGGGUAUCAUUCCGUAUGCGAUUCUGUGGGGUAUUUGGCUGGAGCGGAAUCGAAGACAUUUUCAGGGAGUUCAACGUGAUGUGGAUCGCACCAUCCUUGACAUCAAAGGACUCAUAUCCCUUUGGUGCAAGAGAUGGCAUGAUUAUGGAGAGAUUCCUUAUGCUUCUUUUGUUUACUCUUGGGAGAAUGUUCUAAGUGGCCCUUGAUGUAGAGUUUCUUAUAGUUUUUGUUGUUUGUUCUUCUGUGUUUUUUUUUUGUUUCCUUGACUAGGGAUAUCUCAUCCCUUGGCUUUGUUUGUAAUCAACUUUUUGAUAUGAAUAUAUUAUGCUCGUUUACCUCUCAAAAUAAAUAAAUAAAUGAGUUAAAUGAGAGUUUAAUUCUGAGUUUGUAAUCUUAGAAGGUUCCUACCUUUGCUGCCUAAAGCACAUUAACUCUAUCCUUUCCUGAUGACACACAUUAAAGAGUUGCAUGUUGCUGCCCUCCACCAUUGUCUGCCAAAAAAGUGACAUAAUUUCUUUGACUUACCAGGCAAAAAAAAAAUAAAAAAGAUUAUUUGAUGUUGAUUGGUAACUACAAUUUUCUUAUUUAAAAAAAAAAAAUUAUUAGAUACAACAUAGUAUUAGAUAAUAGGGAUUAUAGGACAAGGUCGAACGAGAAAAAAAAAAUUUAUUUAAACUUUUCCCAGAUGAUACAAGUAUACUCUAGUGCCAACUGACACACCUAUCGAUCAGUGUUUGGUUCCCUGGGAUAUUUCGCGGAUAACUGUUCCAAUGCUAUUGUUUCUGCAGUACAAACAAAGUAAUCAAAUUUCUGUAAAAUGAGUUGAGCACCGUGUUGUUGUUGCGGUUGAAGUGUCAGAUCAGUACAAGGAGCAUGGAUAUAGGCUGGAGAUAGUUGAAAUGAGAAAUUCUGUAAAAUCAUGGCUAGAGCCAUUUUUGCUUGAACCCCACCAAAUGGUAUGAAUGAGAAUUGAUUUUUUGUUGCUUUUAAAACUCCAUCAGAAAAUCUCUCUGGAUUAAACUCUUCUGCAUCUUCACCCCAAAGUUCAUGGCUAUGGUGAAGAAGAAGUGUUGGUAGGCCAAUCUCUACCUAUGAUGGUAUAUAAAUUACUCCAAGUUUCACUUCAUUGUUGGCAGCACGAGUAAUCACUGCAAUAGGCGAGUAUAAUCGAAGGACCUCGUAAAUAAUCAUGCUUACCUGCAAAGAUUAUGAUAUAAAUAAACUUAUAAGCAAUCUAUUGGUUAUAACUGGCAUCUAAUAAGAUAAAGUACAUUUGUAGUCUAGAAGUUAACUCUACCGCUCAAUUUAUCGUAUAUUACUUGCAAUUUUCAAUUGGUUCAGCCCCUCAAACUCGGGUUUAUUUUUCCCAAAGUGUUGCAAGACCUCUUCCCUCGCUUUAUCUUGCCAAUCAGAAUGCAUACUCAAUACAAUCAUUGUCCAUACUAGCAAAGUUGAAGUAGUCUCUCGCCCGGCAAAGUAGAACAGUUUGCACUCAUUAUAACUUCAUGUAUACUCAUUCCAACAUCCUUAGAGGUCUCACUAUCUUCCUUUUCUUUCAAAUUCGAUUCGAGUAAUAAUCCUAACAAGUCAUCAUCACAUGUUUGACCGAUUUUCAUAGACUCCUCUCUCUUAUUUAUCAUAUCAGUUAGAAUCGUUUUUAGUUCUUUGUCUAUUUCCAUCAUCUUGCUGUAUUGUUUUGUCGGAAGAAACCAACUGCACAUAAAAGAUACAAAAGGUGAAAUACUGACUGUACAGACAGUAAUAUCAAUUCGGUCUUUCACAUUUUAUAUCCAUUUUUUCACAAGUAAACUGUCUGCGGUGAAGAGAGCGCCUAGGAAAUUCUAGACAGUGAGGUGAGGGCUCGUGUAUCAUCCAUAUUUCAGAUUCUAAUUCUAUCGUGAAUAUAAAAUUUGGUAUGUCUAAAUUCCCUUCUUCCUCACCAUGAAACCAUUAUGAUGUAAUUAGAGAAAUAACACUAACACUUAUUAUUAGUAAUACAUGUAUUUAUCAUUAAUAAGCUAUCAACAAAAGGUUAUUUACCAAUUAAUUUAUUUAAAGAGGUGAUGCACAUACCUUAUGCCUGGGAUGUAUACAGAUUGUAUAGCCUGCAUAGUAAGGCUUGCCAGUUCAGUUUCGAGUUGAAAAAUCCGUUCUCCCUGUUCAUAACUGUUACCAAAUGCAGCUCGAGAGAUAACAGCUGAUGCCAAUUUCUGAAAAAUCUGGCCAUAUGUCAAGUUUGCAUGACAACUCUGACUCGAACUUUUGCAAUUUGCUAACCAACUCGUCGCAGCAUGUAUGAAAUGCAGGUAACAUCAACUACAAUCAACACCAACACUAAUACUUGUUAGCAUUAGACUGUGUGAACCAAUGUUGCGUUGAUUCUUAAUGUUUUUAGUAAAAAGGAAAUGACAGAGAACAACCUUUAACUUCUUGAGAUGGAAAGCUGGAUUAGUUAUCCUUUUGUGUUCAACCCAUGUAUCACCAUCAUAGCUUACUAGUCAUGUUAUCACUAACUUCAAAUAUGGUGUUAAUUUUGUCUUUGAAAAGUAAUGAGACUUGUUGAAAAGAACAUCUCUUAUAUUCUCUGGAUCCAUAAUGUUCACCCUAGCAGUAGGUCCAUGCCAGUCAAGAAAUAUCUUCCCUGCAUUGAACACUCAAUUCUAUAGACUUGACUAAAAGAUUUUAUAUUAAAAUAGAGGAAACUCUAAAAGAAAUGGUUGCUUCAGUAUAAAGUCAAGAAACUAAGGAUACACCUCGGCAUUCCUCACCAAAACAUGUGAUUGACCUUACUUUUAGGCCUUAUCUUUUUGGGAGGUAAGGAUUCACCUGGUGAAGAGCUUCCAAUGCAAAUAUGGAUUCAAAUUAUGUACUCACUUUCAAAUGCCCUUGGGAAGUGAAUUAAAGAAAACCAGACUUCGCUUCCUUCCGAUCAAUAAAAGGUUAGGACUCCGCCUCAAAUGCCCAUCAAAUAUGAUGAAGGUGACACUGAAGGUAAAUAGAACCUAUUUUUUCUCAACAGAUGAUUAAAUCCUUCUUGCAUUUUGAACUCCAAUGAAAGUUGAAUUGGCAAUGCAUCUCCCAUUGGGAGUGCUCUAAUGGUAUACAAAAAACCAUAGUAUCUAUAUGUCUAGCUAUACUCCUUGUUUGCACACCAUAUUUUAUGGAGACAUGGAAAAAUAAUUUGACCUGAAAAAACAUACCUCCGAAAUUUUGUCAGCAAUCGAAAAAGAAUCUUUAGUCUGCAUGGACUUUUGACGUGUUAUAGAUCCAAUAUACCUGAUUAUUAUCAGAACCAUCUUCUUGACAUGUUAUAAAUCGAAUAAAAUUUGUACACUUGAUUGUGGAAUGUGAAAACCGCCAAAAUCAUCUGUUUGAUGUUAAUGUAUUGAUAGAGAGACAUUUUUUCUGCCAACUGGUUCACCUCAAAAGCUGUGUUUAUCUGUUUCAUGCAUGUACUUACAGAGAGGCACAUGUGUUUUAUAAGAUGCCGUGGGAAGAUGUACAGUUAGAUAUGUAAAUAUUGUAAGUGUGUAUUAUGUUGUAGGAUCAUGUAUGUGAGUCCCACAGGAGGGAGUGUAUAUGAACAGGAAGUGUCUGCACACAAAUUCUAAAGUAAUGUAUUACAAUAGCAAAAUAGUUACCAUCAGUAAGAGUUCACACUUUAUAUUUUGUAUGGCAUUGUUAUUAGGAAAUCGGCAGUGUUUUGUUCAAACAAUUUGUUCUAUUUUUCUAAUAAAAAUUGUGUCAUGUUAUGAAAAGAGAUUACUCAAUUAUGUACUAUACAACAAAAUAAAGUUAAACUUGUGAAAAGGAAAUACCAUAUUUCUCAACCCCCUGCUGAGUAAAAGGGAUGACGGGUGGCGGGUUACAAUGCGAAAGUUCCAUAGGUUUUGAUCUUGCUUCUAUCUCCAUAAUAGCUAGUUCUUUCAAGUUCCCUUGCAAUCACUUGUAAGGACGGCCGCCAAUCCCUUGCUGUCUCGGGUAUUUUUCCAGCUUCUUGGGUUUCAACCAAACCCAAUAUAACACUUUCAAGGCCAAUGAAAACACCAAAACAACAGAGAUUCCAAGCACAAUUAAAAAAGCCAUUGGAAUUUUUUCCUCUCUUCUCUUAUCUCUCUUUCUUCAAUUGAAACGAAUCUCUUUUAUAACGAAACAUAACAUAGUCUUUAGAAUAAUUCAAAUGAGUAUUCUUAGUCUGCCGUAUGUUUGACUAAUUGGAAGUACAAGUAAUUUCUUCACGACAAUGAGCUAAACUUUCAACACCACAAACAUUUGUUCUUAUCAUCUAGAAGGAUAAUCCUCUGGAGCUUUACCAGGAAUGCUCCUGUUUCAUCAGCAUAGGCUUCUAGCGUGUUUCUUAUGUGAUGCCACAUAGCUUUAGAUGAAAUUUCUUCUUGUAAAAACCAUGCAGUAGAUGUCAGUCAACCAUGGAUUUCGACUUUCUGUGACAUCAUGUUCACUAGGCUUUUUGCUAGCAAGAUCCAUACAGUAUGUAUGGAAUCUCACCCAAAAUCAUUUCCAGAGUAAGAUGCAUAAUUGUUACGUUAAGAAUUCAGUUAGUAACAUGAAGUGCACUGAGUCCUACUACAUUUUUCAUCCUACACCGUUUCAUUGUCUCUCUGAUCAUACGAGCCUCGCCGCAUCUCUUACCACAUGAAGCCAACAAGGCUCCCCAAAUGGGUGCAGUGGGCUUUACAGGCAUGGCUUCUAUAAACAUUAAGGCUUCUCUCAACUGUCCAGUUCGACAAAGCAUAUCAACCAGAGCAGCAUAGUUAUGCACUUCAGGCAUCAAACCAUACUCUUGGGUCAUGCAAUUAAAAUAUUCCUUCGCCUCCUCCACAAGACCAGCUUGGCUGCACGUGAUAAAGACACUCGUGAAAGUUAUAUUGUUAGGUUUCAGUCCUUGCCUCCGCAUAUUGUUAAAGAGUCUCAACGAAUCCUCACUCCGGCCAUGUUUUGCAUAGGCUGUUAUCAUGGCAGUCCAUGUCACCACAUCUCUAUUUCCAAGAUUUUCAAAUAGUUUGGCAGCUGAGUUUACAGCUCCAUACUCAGCAUACAUAUGCAGCAAUGAAGAAGAAAAAUACAAAUUAGAACGGCAAUACCCACGCUUAAGUCCGAAACCGUGUAUUUCUCUCCCCUGUUGAAGAGAUACAACAGCAGGCAUCACUUUAACUAAUAUCCCUGGAUCCAAAAUCCCAUUUCCUUGCUCUUGCACCAUCAAACGAAACAGUGCAAGCGCCAAACUAUGUUUCUUGUACCAAAUAUACCCAGUAAUCAUAGUAUUCCAACUAAUAACAUCCCUUACAUGAAUCGACAUUCCUUUAAAAACAUUCUCCGCAUAAUUCACACGCGACGAUUCCAUAUACAUAUUAAUCAAAGCAUUUUCAACAAAGGGUUUCUCCGAAACUACCUUAAUUCUCCAUUCCAGCUCGAGCAUGCGCAUUAAGUAUAAUACACAGAGUAACCAAAUCCGGCUUCUCCUUAGAUAAAAACAUCAGCUUAGUAAAAUAAAAAAGAGCUUUAUAAAUCACCCCACUUAAUAAAAUAAAAAAGAGCUUUAUAAAUCACCCCACAACGAAUACAACCAGUUAUAAUAGAAUUCCAACUAUCAAUACUUCUUUGAGGCAUUUCUUCAAACAGUUUUAUACCCUUAUCAAUAUGACCAAAUUUACAGUACAUUGAAACUAAAGAAUUGGAAAUAGAAAUAUCUGAUUGAUACCCAAGAAGUAGAACAAGAGAAUGAAUCUGUUGACCAAGUUUCAAAGAAUUGCAAGCUUUCAAAGCAAUGGGGAAUGUAUAAUUAUCAAAUUGAACUGAAUAUAAAUGCAUUUGAGAAAGUGUUUGAAGUGCUUCAAUGUGACAACCUUGAGAUAUUUGAUUUCUCAUUAGUUGAUGCCAAUGAAAUGUACUUGUAUUUGAUAUUGAUGAUCUUAUUAAAUUGCAUAGACUUUUUUGCAUUUCUUCUUGAAGAUUUUUGAAUUUUUUUUUUCUGAACUUUGGCGUCUCUCUGCUUAGUGUUUCUGCUUUGGUUCUGUUUUGUGUAUGUCUAAUGUACCUGGAACUGGAAGGCUGGAACUGGAACUAAUAAUACCAGUUUGUAUUUCAUCCGUUCCGGUUCCAAAUUUUGCAGUGUAACUAGGCCUGUAAAAAUGGUCUUUGACCCUAAACCCGGCCCGGCCCGGCCCAUUCAAUGGAAAAAGCCCUUAAAACUUGACCUUAUGAUUUUUAGGGUAGGGCCAACCCGACCCUCCCCUUUAAGGGUCGGGUUAGGGUUUAACUUUAGAAAUCUUAGACCCUAGUCCUACCUUUAGCCCGACCCUAAUUAACCCUCCCAAAGCCCUCUUAUGGCACUCAUAAAUAUAUGUACAAUUUUUUAUAUACAAGUUGUUGAACCCGUGCUACGCACCGGGAUUUGUGUUAUUCAAUAAAAUGGAAAAUCACCAAAUUUUUUUUAAUGCCUUUCUCAACCUAAAUUUGUAGAGAUUUUAUAAUGACUUUAUAAAUGAUUUGUUGAACCGAAUUUUUUUAAUGCUCUUCUUAACCUAAAUUUGUAGAGAUUUAUAAUUAAUAUUUUUUGUAUUUAGUAUGGUUUUUAUAUAUGAAUUAAAGAUUUUAAUAGAAGAAGAAUUUAGUAGGAAAAAGAGAUUUAGAAUCAAGUUCUAAAAGGUUUUAAGGUUUCUAUAAAUCUUUGUUGACCAUUGACAUAGAAGGUGGAUUUCCUUUUUAAUUACAACUGGGCUUCAAUUGAGCUUAAAGUUGGGCUUAAGUUCUAUUCUCAAGUUGUUGAGAACACGCCACGUGGCACUUGUUAGGCUCCACUAUUAUAUAGUAUAUAGAUUUCUCCAUAUAUCAAAAUUUGAACACUUUUUAGAGUUUUAAUUUUUUAGAGUUUUAAUAAUAAAGAUUUUUACAAUUAGACAUAGAUGUCACUUUUAUUUAAUUUAUAUGAUAUUUACCAAAUGUUUAUGGAAUAUUUCCCGAACUAGUUGUUAAAAUCUAUUAUACUAUAUUAAAGCAGAAAAUACCCCUAAAAAAAUAUCUCUUCAAUUAGGCUAACAAUAAGACUGAAAUUGAUAGCCUAAUUGAAGAGAAUUUUAAUUAAGUUUGGGUAUAUUUGUAAUUAGGCAAAAGUGGACCACCAUCACAGAUAUAAUUAAGCCCAAUUAGACCAUGGGAAUAAUUAAGCCCAAUAAAAAAAAAUUAAAAGAAUACCCAAUCCCAAGUAUAAUCAAGUCCAGCCCGUGCCCAGUUGGACCAAAUCACAAGCAUAAUUAAAAUACAGUAAAACUUCGAUAAAUUAAUAGCCUUGAGACUAGAGAAAAUUAUUAAUUAAACGAGAUAUUAAUUCAUCGAUUAAUUAAUAAACUAUUAAUUUACAUAAACAAUAUAUUUUCAUGUAUGUCUUUCUUUUUAGGGGGCUAACAUGAUGAAGCUGGAUAAUCAUUUUAUUCUAGAACCGGUUCCACGAAAAGAAACACUAAAAUCGAUAAUGAUAUUGGAAUAAUUUCUUCUUACAAUACAAAAUACAACACCAGAUCAACUCAUCACACUACAAAAAUUUAGAGACGAGGUUCAAACCAAAAUCAAUCUUGAGAAAAAACAAGCAAAAAUUGACUUUUGUUAUAAAGAAAAAUAUAAAAUAUAUUUGUAUAUCGAAAAAAUAUUAAUUUAUAUAUUAGUUGGGCAUUCAAGGAUUUUUCUAAAAUGUAUUAUCUAAUAAAUUUAGCGAAAUAUUAAUUUAUCAACAUAUGCCCAAGUUGGGACCAGCCAAAAAUAUUAUUUAAAGGAGAUAAUUAAUUUAUCGGGUAUUAUCUUAUCGAGGUUUUACUAUAUCUUUUCAAUUAUGCUGAAAUUGAUAAAUUAAUUGAAGAGAAAUUCAUUCAAUUUUGGGUAUUUUUGUAACUACACAAAAUAAAUAAUUACGUUUAUACAACUUCUCCAUCUUCCUCUUCACUCAAAGUCUAUGUCUGCUUAUAUGCUUAUAUUUAUAAGCAGUAAACCACAUUAUCACCACUAAAUCUAAUACCAGUAAUUGACUACCAUUGAUAAAAUGCUCUAACUCGAAUUUCUUUCAAUUCAACAAUUUUAACUUCAAUAAGUUUACCAGUAAUCUUUUUUGAAUAAGUAGCUAAAUAAUUAUCUGGUGGUCAAUUACAUUCUAGAUUUGACAAAAAGUAUAUUUUGCAAGAAUAUGGAGAACCAGUAAUCUAUUUCUUUUCCUUGCACUUAUUAGGCAUUGACAAAAAGUAAAUGAAAAUAGAAAAUAAACUCCAAUAAAGAUGAUGAUAUAAUCUUCAAUACAUUUCAAUGGUGGGGAUACGAAAAGGGACCCAAGUAGCAGUAAGACUUAUUUACUGCAAUUUCAUGAAAUUUGAGUCCCUUAAUUUGUGAUCUAAUGUACGUAAAUGUGUUGCAGAUGGGACUAUAUCAAAAAAUGUCGCAAGAUUCACACAGACAUGGAUUGUAUGGUUGCCUUCCGGAAAUGCUUAACUACAGGCCUAACGGGAUCUCUCCGUCAUAUUACAAGUAAGUCAUCUUUAUCAUCAUAAUAGUUUGUUAAAGAUUUCGAAUUUUCAUGAUGUUAACUGUUACAAGCCAAUUAAGAGACGCUCGACUGCUAAUGGACUACUGUGAAAAGAUUGUUUCCCAAAGUGAUGAAGCCUCAACAACCGAGCCAGACUAAAUUCUAAUUGAGACUUUGAGAAUUGAGAGUACUGCAAAAUCCCAUUCUCCUGGAUAUCUUCAAAUGUUUUGGGUUUAAUUUUUAUGUAUAUAUAAUAAUCGUUUAAUUUCAUUACUCAAAGAUUUAUAAUAAUUCUAAAUGAAAUCAUACCAGAUCAUAGACUUUUGAAACGGGCUAAACAAAAUAUUACAAGUUACAAACCAAAAGCAAUAUAAAACCCCCCCAAAAAAAACUUUAAAACAAUCAGAUAUGCCCGUGCAUUGCACGGGCCUAAGGACUAGUACUAUUAUAUAACUAAAGGAAAUUGAUUCUCAAUAGAAUAUUUUUUUAUUAACCGUCUAUUUCAUUAUUGAGCAUGCAAUAAAUGGUAAUUAGAUUAUUAUUUUAAAUGUGUAUUUUAAACUUAUCAUGCUAGAAUUUUAUCAAUUUAGGAUUAAAUUUCUAAAGUUUGAAAUUUUAGUAAUAAGAUAACAUCUAGCUACGAGUUCUUUGUAUUUAUUAAUUGUAAUGCUUUUGGAAAGAUAAUAUUGUAUACUAUAACAAAUUUUGUGGUGAAAAAAAUAUAUUUGUACAUUUAAGAAUUGAAACAUAUUAUACGUAUUUUUAAAAAAUUUAAAAUGAUAUUAAUAAAAACAUGAUCGCAUGUUUUUUUUUCAAGUAAAACAUAAUCCUAUGUAUCGACCCUAUCAACUGGGCCCGUUAGCCCGACCCUCAACACUUUAAAAAAAGGUCUAAGGGUCGGGUGAGGUUUUCACAAUUUUUGUGUUAGCCCGCCCCGACCCUCAUCAUCUUUUAAGGUAGGGAUGGCCCGACCCUUAAAGUGUGAGGGCUAGGGUUCGAGGUCUGGGCUAGCCCUACCUGGCCCAUUUUACAGGCCCAAGUGUAACACACUUUUAUGGUGCACUUAAAUCCCUAAGACUAUCUUUGUAACAAAAAAACUCUCGAUUUUGGCCCCAAACCCUAAUUAUCGAUUAAAAAUGGGCUAAAAUCUGGUAACUUACACCAACAAUCAGUUGUUAACAUGUUUCGAACCCACAACCUCUCCACUUUGUGAGAGGGGUGCUACCAUCGAGCCACGGGCUUAUUCGCAAAAAAAAUGUUAUGGUAAGCAUGUUUUUAAUGAGAUUAGUAACUCGGUAAUGUUUGCGGGAUUUAACCCUAGACCUCUGGUAAUCUAGUAUCAUCACCGAAAGGUUUUACUAGUUGAGCUCAGUUGACACUUGCAAAAAAAACCCAUUUUUCUAUUGGCAAAGUUGUAUUUUAUGAGAUCAGUAACUCGGUAAUAUUAGCAAGAUUGAAUUCCAAACUUUGAAUACCCGAUUAGGCAUUUGAAAAUGAAAGUUUGAUACAUUAUAGCAAAAAUAAAGUAGGACCUAAUUAUGCACAAAAAUAAUGUAUGAUUCCAAAAGGCUGUUCAAAUAUAAAGUGACAUCCAUGAAUAUUGUAUAUUCAUUGUCGGUCGAGAAAAUGAAAGGGACUUCAAUAAAUUACAAUGGGAAAAAAGUAGUACCUAAAUUAGGUAAAAAAAUAUUUAUAGGAUGAUUCCAAAAAGUGAUUCAAAAAAGGACUUGAACAAUUAUGCAUAAUUUGUACCAUUUGCAGUGCAUGAAGUGUGAUCAUGGUGUAAUACUGAUUCAUAGUUUAUGUAAGAUCAGUUGAGCUCCAUAUUGUGGUUUAAUUGUGAGAAUACUGUAAGGAGCAUGGAUAUAAGUAGAAGAAAGCUCGAAUGAAAACUGUUGCAGAAUCAUCGACAAAGCCAUCUUUGCUUCUACAAAGACGAAUGUCUGCCCAGCGCAUAUCCUUGGACCCCAACCAAAUGGGAAAUAUGAGACCUGGUUCUUUGUGGCCUCUGAAACUCCUCUAGCGAAUCUCUCUGGUUUAAAUUCCUCUGCAUCUUCACCCCAAAGUUCACGACUAUGGUGAAUCAGAAGUAUUGGAAGAGCUAGUUGUACACCUUCUGGCACAGUAACAUCACCUAAAUUAAUCUCCUUGUCAUUAGCUCGUGAAAUGAAUGGUGUUGGCGGAUAUAAUCUAAGAACCUCGUGUAGAAUCAUAGUCACCUACAAUGAAAUUUUGAUAAAAGUUUUCAGUAGUCUAUAUCAAAAUAAAUUUGCGACAGUUCAAUCACAAGCUCAGGUAAUAUGGCAGUAAAAUCACUUACAAUUUUGAGCUGGUUCAACCCAUCGAAAUCUGGUUUGCUGCUCCCAAAGACUUUCAUUACUUCUUCUCUUGCUUUCUCUUGCCAGUCUUGAUGCAUACUCAACACGAUCAUAGUCCAAACGAGCAAAGUGGAGGUUGACUCUUGUCCAGCAAAAUAGAAUAACCUACACUCAUCUAUAAUUUCGUCAAUAGUCAUUCCUACGCGCUUACUGUUCAUAUCGUCUUUCAUUUCAUUAUGAUUUGAUUCCAUUAGUACGCCUAGUAAGUCAUUCUUCGGUGCUUCUCCCAUAUUAAUAGCCAUCUCUCUCUUUUUCACAAUGUCUCUCAGCAAAUUUCGCACUUCUCUACCAAUUUUCUUCAUCCUAUUGUUCCUUUUUGUAGGAAGAAAUCUGUACAUUAAGAUGUUCAAUGUCAAGAUCUGUAAUUAUCACCAGUUGUAAACAACGUUAAUAAUGCGCUAGCUUAUGAAUGUAUACCUAAAACCAGGGAUGUUCAGCGACACUAAAUCUUGAAAAACAAGCGUUCCAAGCUCAUCUAUGAGUUGGAAUAUUCGACGGCCUUCUUCAUAAGAACUACCAAAUGCUGUUCGAGAAAUCACAUCCUUUGUUAUGUUUUGAAGAUCAGGCCACACAUCUAAUUCACAAGAACCUUCUGAAAAAUCCAAAUUCUGCCACUUGCUAAUCAAGUUGCUACAAGUAGUAUAAAAUGCUGGUGACAUCAUCUGCCAAGACCAAAUAUAGAUGAAUUUGCAUGAUAUAUUUGGGGAAAGAUUCAAUAAAAAACAUUGCUAAUUAACAUGAAUCUAUUAAAUAUUUAAAUAAGAACAGAAAACAACCUUCAACUUCUCUGGAUGGAAAGCAGGGUUAAGAAUCCUUCUGUGUUUUGCCCACUUUUUACCUUCAUAGAUUACAAGUCCAGAUACCAACAGCUUGGACAGUGGAUUUGAUCUUGGCUUGACAAAAUGACCAGAUUUGUUCAUAAAAAUUUCCUUCAACAGCUCAGGCUUCAUGAUAUUCAGCUUCAGAGUUGGUCCAUACCAAGUCGUAAACAUUCUACCUGUUUUAUCAAAUAAAAAAACAUUUUCAUCGCAUAAAUUUUUAGACUAUAAUUUUUCAUAUGAAUAAAACGAUAAAGAGUGAAUUACCAUAGCUUUCGGCAAAUUGAUCAUGGAAAGGGAGAACACGUUGAACAAUUCGAUGUGAACGUUCCAUAGGUCUAGAUUGUGCUUUCUUAGUUAGACUCACCAAUUCUUUGAGGUUACCAUGUAGAAACCUAUAACUUGGACCUUUGACACCUUUCUUCCUUAGAUACUUGUCAAGUUUUUUGGGGUUUAACCAUAUCCAACAGAAAACAUUCCAUGUCAAAAAUAUCGCCAGAACUGCAGAACUAACAGUUACUACCCAUACAACCUUCUCCAUUUUGUUUUCACUGAACAUUGAUAAGAUACCUUAUAUAAUGUAACAGAGAAUAUGUAAAGACGGCAGCCUCUUGUAUUAUAAAAAUAUUUAUCGACCGUUUGUCCGUUUGCCAUUUGUUUUAAUUCUAGAAACUUAUUAUCUAAUGAAAUGUUUCUUCUUUAGGGUGAUAAUUGCCGGACAAAAAUGAAUUUCCUUUUGUUAGUUAUCAAUCCAUUUGCAGAAGUUUGUUUAUUAAUGAAGAGUACGGCAAGCUGUUUUAAUUUGUUCAUAUACGAUCUGAUUGGAAUCUAACUAUGUGCACGUACUUCAUAUAAAAACUACUGCAAAAGACUAUUAUAGUUUUGAAUUGGCUGUAUCUUUUGUUGUAUUAAGGUCAAGAGAUACCGUUUCGUGGUCUAUUUCAGUUUCUGUCAACUGGAAUAGCAUCCAUAUAUCUCUGUAUUCGGUGAAGCAUUAUAUUAGUCCAUUUUUGGCAAGUAGGAUUAUAUUGUAGCAUCAUGGUAGUUCAAGACUUCAAGUUAUAAUAUCUCACCUACUGUAAAAUUGACAAGUCCUGAACAUGUUGCCACAUUCACAAAUCACAAUUGCUGUCUCGUAGAUGUAACCGUGGAUUGCUCAAGUCUAGGGAAGAUGUGAAUCAUUAGGUAAUGGCAGAAAGAAAUCAAUAAUAGUUCAUGGCGAUUAAAAAGCAUCGAAAAAUACCAAAAUGUUACAUCAAUUAAUAUUUUCUUUUACAGUAUCACGUACAGAAAAGCUCCUGAUGUGUGUUGCUAUCUGAUUGGUGUAUUUAUAGAGUUCGAUCAUGACAACUUUCGGUUUUCUAUUUUAGAAAAAAAAAAAAAUGCCCUUCUUCUAGCGCUGUUGGUUUUUUGCGAAUGAGCCUAUGGCUCAAUGGUAGCACCCCUCUCACAAAGUGGAGAGGUCGUGGGUUCGAAACACGUCAACAGCGGAUUGUUGAUAUAAGUUUCUACACGUAAUUUAAAAGGGGUAGGGGUCCCCACAACCUUGCUUGCCAAUCAAAAAAAAAAAAAGUUAAAAAAAUAAAUCUACUAGUUUACUUGAUCCAGGUCCUGGUUGUUUGGCUACACAUAAAAAAGUUACUUUUUUGCUGUGAAAAGUAAGAAAAUCAAAAAGUUAGUAUGGAUGCAAUUGUUUUUUUACUUUUUCGUAGCAAAACUUUUGCUGCCAGAAAAAGCUCAAAAUUUUAGCUUUUUUACUUUCAAAAAGUAAAAUUCACAACAACAUAAAAAUGAAAUGUUAGUAUUUUUCCCCUAAUUUGAUCAUGUUUGGGAUAUCCUAGUUGUUGUAGAAAUCUACCCAUAGGAUUGAAUUUUGUGAUGGAUGAAAUCUAAUUCAAACAUCUUGAAUGUUAAAGUUCUAUCUUCAUUGUUGCGCCCUUCUCUUAAUACCACUACACCUGUGUAUGUAUAUACAUAUCGAGCUACAUCGACUUAAAGCUAAUUUUCAUCGAGCUCACCCGAGCUCAAGCCUAUUUCCAACGACAAUUUUUUACUUAUUUUUUAUGUAUUUUCGUCAAUUUCUCUUCAAUUUUACUUUUUGUUGCCAAGGAUACAUUCCUUUUAUUCUCCAUACUUCGAAUUGGCUUCAUGUACACUAAGGGAUACAUUCCUUUAUAAUUCAUAUUGGAUAGUCAUAAUUAUAUAAUACUAGUGCCUUAACCGGUGCAUAAUUUUAAUUUAUCCAUCUCUGAUUAGCAUUCGAGUUUUAAGUUAUUAAUUUUAUUAAAUAUUACAAAUUAUACUAAUUUAUUAAAUCGUAUGAAAUAAUUAUUUCUUAAGUAAAUUCAUUAUUCUCAUUGUAUUUUGUUAAUUACAAUAAAACCAUUAAUUUUAAAGUAAAUAAAAAUUAUUUAAUUAAAGUAAAUAAAAAUUAUUUUUUUAUUGGAUAUUUUGCUUAUAAAUAAAAAUUUAGCCCAUAAAUAAAAAUAUGUUAAAUUACAAUAAAACCAUUAUUUAAAGGGUAUUACGUAAAUUUACCAAAACAUCAUGACUAAAAGGGUGUUAAAUUAUAAUAAAACCAUUACACUUAGAGAGUAUUAUGUAAAUUUACCAAAAAACCAUGACUAAAAGGGUAUUUUAGUCAGAAUUAGGUAACAAAAUACUAAAGAUCAAUUCUCAUUAACCGGGACUUACCCCUGGAUUUUAUUCAGGUUUAUAAUAGUAGUCUAGAUUUUUCUUAAGCAUAUUAUUGUUUUUCUACAUGUUUAAGAGAACGAGGCUCAUGCAUAAGGCUUGGUGGAAAUUUUAGAAUUAUUUAUCACACUAAUAGUGCAACCUAAGAAAAAUUCUCCUGGUCGACAAUAUAUAAUUCUACGAAGGUGAUGUACCAUAAGCUGUUUUGCAUGACACUAAUUCUACAGUAGUUAUAUAUGGACCAAUGGGCAAAUAGUCUAAUUUUAACCAAUGAAAUAUUUUGAUCAUUUGAGCACCAUGUAAUUGUUGUUAUUUCUUACAUUUUAAUGUCAUACUUGAUAUAUUAUAGAGAUUUGACCUUUACCCCCUCCAUUUGAAAGUCGAAAUUUGAGUUACCCCCAUUUGAAAAAAUAUAGACGAUGUUACAAAAAUCAAUUUUCUUUAUUUAGUAAAUAAAAUAUUUUAUAAUGCCAAAACUACCCCUUCUUGAAUCUGAUGCUAAUUAGUACCCCCACUGAAACAUACAUAAUUAGUAAUACUCCCCGAAAUCAAUUUGUUGGGAAAUUUUUGAAUGGGAUUAAAGCUCCCAUAAUGUUCACAUCAAUCUUGUGUAAAAUUGCAUAAACAUAUUUUUCAGAUUUGAAUGGAUGCCAAUAAGGAUCUAUAUUGGACAGGUUGGGAAGUUGUAGAUCUAAUGGUUUGACAAUAUUCAAAAGGCUCACUAAUUUAGUGAUUGAGAACAUUCAAAAGUUUUGAAGAUAUUGCUUGCAUAUUCAAGUAAUGGAGUCAUCUUAUUUGUAGGGAUACUAAAUACAACAAUCAAUCAAAACACGACAUAUGUCAUGUCCCAACAGUUCACUAGGUCGUCCACGAUACGACCUAACCUACUCCGACCAGAAUAACUUAAGUAUAUAACUGUUGGUGACCUCAAUGCAGACACGUGCCCUUAAUAAAUGCCUAGAGAAUAUCUUGGUUUGUUACGUACACAUGCAUUUAUUGCCAGGUAUCACGCAAUAAUAGAUGUCGGAGAAUCUGCAGGAUCCCAUGAUCUGUCCCCUCUCACCUUGUAUAAGAACAAAACUACGAUGACUUGAUCUCUAAGUUCCACUCCAUCGAGGUAGAGUACGUAGGCAAUCUCGACUUCAUCGAGGUACAACCAAAUUGAGUUGCAGGUGGAACUAAAUUGAGUUGCAAAAGAAGAUGUUGAAGAUGGGGGAAGAAGAGGGGGGGGGGGGGGUAUUGCCAAUGGUUUGGUAUAAUUUUUUUGCCAUCCUCCUUUAAUUCGAGGGGAGCGGGGGGGGUAACUGCUAUAUUUUUUCAAACGGGAGGGGGUGACUCAAAUUUAGACUUUCAAAUGGGGUUAAAUGCCAAAAUCUCUAUAUUAUAUUUUCAUUUUCAUGGUCCAUAGAACUUCCAUGUUGCAUCGAUGUUGCCGAUGAUAUUUGUUAGUGCACAUUUAGUUUUGCAUUUAGUAUCAAGCCACCAACCUGGAUUCCUGAAUUUGUCGCCAACACAAUAAAUCCAACAACUAUCAUAACAAGGAGGAUAAGCAGCUACAUAUCGAGAUUGAACUUGAAAAAUAAUAAUGAACAAUAGCGCAAAGAAAUUUAUAUAUCUAUUUUCCAUGUUUAUGUUUAUUUUUUUGUUAUUCUAUGUUGAUAUUUGGACGAGUGUAAAAGAAAGUAUAUGACUAAGUUAAAGACGAUAAUAGAUUUAUAUGACUAAGUUAAAAGAUGAUAAUAGAUGUCAAUUAAAAGUUUUGAAUUAUAAUCAGUUUCAUUAUUAUUAAUUAUUUUAUUUAAAUAAAAAUAAAUAUCAGUUAAAGUGGUGACAUAAGCAAUUGUAAAAUGGUAUAUAUAUAGCUUUUACUCCCUCUAAAUAAUGUCUAUUUAGUUUAUGAUAUCGAUUGUUUUGUUUAUUCGGUUUAAGUACCACUUCUAUAUCAGUUAAAAAAAAAAAUUGUUGUGUCCAUUUAAGUAUUCUAUGCGAUAAAUCUAGAAUGUUGUUGUUAAUUAAUGUUGUAAAAAAAUAAAUUUGUUGUGUCAAUUUAAGUAUUCUAUUUAGUUUAUGAUAUCGAAUGUUUGGACGUAUUAGUAGGGGUGCAAUUCGAGCCAAAUGAGCCGAGCUAGGGUAUGCUCGAACUCGGCUCGCUACUAACCGAGCCGAGCUCAAAAUGAAGACCGAGCUGAACUAUGAGCUCGAGCUCAGCUCACGAGCCAACUAUAAAACUCGAGCUCGUCAGCUCGCUCGGCUCGGUUUGGCUCAUUUCGGCUCAUUUCAGCUCGUUUCCUGGUUUCGGCUCAGCUCGUUAGCUUAAUAUUUCGGUUUUUUAUGUCUGUAUUUAUAUAAAGGGUAAUAUAAUAAUAAUUUCACGAGCUGCUCGGCUCGGCUGGUUUAGAGCUCGGGCUCGUGACGAGCUGAAAAACCUGCUCGAACUCGGCUCAUUUAGGUAAACGAGCGAGCCGAGCCGAGCUCUUAUCGAGCCGAGCCCGAGCCGCUCGGCUCAAAUUGCAGCCCUACGUAUUAGCGCUAACUACCACUUCUAUAUCGGUUAAUUAAUGUUGUUUGAUUCGGUUAAGUAAUUAUAUAUAUAUUUUUUCUAAAAAAAAUUAACUUAAAUAAAACUAAUCACAGUUGGAAUGGUUGGCUGUGAUGGAAUCUUUCCAAGUUUUUUAAACGACGGAAAUUUUUAUUUGUUUGGGUUUAAUAAAAGUACACAACUAAAAUAUGGAUUGUUUUUUAUAUGGAAUUAAAAUAAAGGGUUAGAACAUAAUUUUUAUAAUGGAAAUUAUAUUAAACUAAGGGUUAAAAAAUGAAUUCCAUUAUAAUUUUUUUUUUUAUUUUCUAGCUUCUUAAAUAUAGGCACUUACCACAAAAAGUGAAGAAAAAACAAGGAAAACUAAGAGGAACAAAAAAGACUAAAAACCAUCGUAAAUCUAUAUCUUAAAUGCAAUUUAUUUAGUAAUUAUAAUAGAAAAAAAGAUUUAUUUAUUUAUUGUUGAUUUCAUUGAUUAGUAAUAUUUCUUUGUUGUUGGUGUGUGAAAGGACUUGCAGCCUAGUUUUAUAACACGUUUGUCCUCUACUUUUGUGUAGAUUUUUUUUUUUAAUAAAAAACUAUUUUAUUGAUAAGCUCAAAGAAUUACUCAAAAGUAUAUAGGACAAGCGCGCUACAAACUGCGCUGCAAGCCCUUUUUAAAUACGCCAAAUGUCAGGUGCUCGCCACACCACGCGUCUUGCGCAUAAGGCACAAAAAUGGUAUUGCGCCCAGGUGCGACUACCUUGGAUAUAACCAUCUUCCUAGUAUAAAGUUUAGUAAAGAAGUAAUUGAAAUUCCACAUCCAAGAUGUAACAGAACCUUUUUCAGGAAAUCUGAUAACCUAUGAAGACUGUACUAAUCAGUUCACGUCUUAAGCUUGUCUUAUGGCCAAUAUAAAGAAACAAUAACGGAGUGGGGAUUCUUCAUCCUUAAUCUCGAAAACUUUUGCUUCUCUGUGAAAGCAGGUGGUGGUAUGAGUGGCAGGCAACUUUUAAACGUGAUUACUUCAACAAUCCGUGGAGGACAAUUCUUUCGUUUAUUAGUGCUAUUCUCAUUAUCGUCUUUACCAUGACAGUAUGACACAAACUAUUUUUUCCAUUGUCGUCAUAUAUAUACGAAAGUUUUAUCCUUGGCGCUAUAAUCAUCGAUGCCAAUGUUUUGGCAGAUUAUACAUUAAGGUGAAUGAAAUUGAGUGCUUUGGUACUUUGGUAGCACAGACAGUUCAAAGGAUAAUGGCCAAGAUGAAAACUUUCUCUUCAACAAAAUCUGCCAACAGAAUAAUCUCAAAAGCUUUUUUUUUCUCUACACUUUCAUCCUUUGCUCUGUAAUAGCCUUGGCAGAUCCUACAUAAGGUGAAUGAAAUUGAUUGCUUUCGAAGCACAGACAGUUCAAAGGGUAGCACUAUAGGGUUGUAGGUAACUUGGUAUAUUGCUAGUGUAAGAAUAUCUGUUAUGUUGAAUUGUUGAUGCUCUAAAAGCUUUCUCUGUUCUUCAAGAUUAUAUAAAAGUUCUUUAAAAUAAACAAUCUAUCUAUCUAUCUAUCUAUCUAUCUAUCUAUCUAUCUCUAACAAUAUUUGAAGUCGAUUUUUUCUGCACCCAACAAACAAAAAUACAAAAAUUAAAUAUUCUUGCAAAAUUCAUAAAGAGCAAUCUCAUUUGGCAAACUUAGUAACCAUAAAUUAAACAUGGUUUGAGAAUGAUCACCUAAAAAAAUCAUUAAACUAUUAUGUUUGAUAUCCUCCAAUAUCCAUUGACUUUAAAAUAUUUGCUUCUAUGUUCGACUAAAUUAUUGAUUUAUUGAGCAAAAUCUAUUGCUAAAUUUGGGCAAAAGGACCAAAAAUUUACUUGGUAUCAUUCUAUGAACAACAUAAGAAGUAAACCAAAUAGAUUUGAACGCUAAAUUUAUAGAUCAAACAUGAAAGGAAAAAUAUAAAACACACAAAAAGUGUGAAAAGUAAUAAACCCGACAACCACACACCCCAUUAUGUGAAAUCAUCGUAUUAAUGUUUACAAAUCCGCCGAGGAAAAAAAGCAAUGAAAAGAUGUUCAUCAAACCCUCGUGUGUUUAACAUUGUACCAACCCUUUUUACAAGAGCCAUUUAUUCAAUACAUUUUAACUCAGUACAUUACGGUGCAAGCAGCAUUUUCGUCCACACAAUGUGACUANNNNNNNNNNNNNNNNNNNNNNNNNNNNNNNNNNNNNNNNNNNNNNNNNNNNNNNNNNNNNNNNNNNNNNNNNNNNNNNNNNNNNNNNNNNNNNNNNNNNNNNNNNNNNNNNNNNNNNNNNNNNNNNNNNNNNNNNNNNNNNNNNNNNNNNNNNNNNNNNNNNNNNNNNNNNNNNNNNNNNNNNNNNNNNNNNNNNNNNNNNNNNNNNNNNNNNNNNNNNNNNNNNNNNNNNNNNNNNNNNNNNNNNNNNNNNNNNNNNNNNNNNNNNNNNNNNNNNNNNNNNNNNNNNNNNNNNNNNNNNNNNNNNNNNNNNNNNNNNNNNNNNNNNNNNNNNNNNNNNNNNNNNNNNNNNNNNNNNNNNNNNNNNNNNNNNNNNNNNNNNNNNNNNNNNNNNNNNNNNNNNNNNNNNNNNNNNNNNNNNNNNNNNNNNNNNNNNNNNNNNNNNNNNNNNNNNNNNNNNNNNNNNNNNNNNNNNNNNNNNNNNNNNNNNNNNNNNNNNNNNNNNNNNNNNNNNNNNNNNNNNNNNNNNNNNNNNNNNNNNNNNNNNNNNNNNNNNNNNNNNNNNNNNNNNNNNNNNNNNNNNNNNNNNNNNNNNNNNNNNNNNNNNNNNNNNNNNNNNNNNNNNNNNNNNNNNNNNNNNNNNNNNNNNNNNNNNNNNNNNNNNNNNNNNNNNNNNNNNNNNNNNNNNNNNNNNNNNNNNNNNNNNNNNNNNNNNNNNNNNNNNNNNNNNNNNNNNNNNNNNNNNNNNNNNNNNNNNNNNNNNNNNNNNNNNNNNNNNNNNNNNNNNNNNNNNNNNNNNNNNNNNNNNNNNNNNNNNNNNNNNNNNNNNNNNNNNNNNNNNNNNNNNNNNNNNNNNNNNNNNNNNNNNNNNNNNNNNNNNNNNNNNNNNNNNNNNNNNNNNNNNNNNNNNNNNNNNNNNNNNNNNNNNNNNNNNNNNNNNNNNNNNNNNNNNNNNNNNNNNNNNNNNNNNNNNNNNNNNNNNNNNNNNNNNNNNNNNNNNNNNNNNNNNNNNNNNNNNNNNNNNNNNNNNNNNNNNNNNNNNNNNNNNNNNNNNNNNNNNNNNNNNNNNNNNNNNNNNNNNNNNNNNNNNNNNNNNNNNNNNNNNNNNNNNNNNNNNNNNNNNNNNNNNNNNNNNNNNNNNNNNNNNNNNNNNNNNNNNNNNNNNNNNNNNNNNNNNNNNNNNNNNNNNNNNNNNNNNNNNNNNNNNNNNNNNNNNNNNNNNNNNNNNNNNNNNNNNNNNNNNNNNNNNNNNNNNNNNNNNNNNNNNNNNNNNNNNNNNNNNNNNNNNNNNNNNNNNNNNNNNNNNNNNNNNNNNNNNNNNNNNNNNNNNNNNNNNNNNNNNNNNNNNNNNNNNNNNNNNNNNNNNNNNNNNNNNNNNNNNNNNNNNNNNNNNNNNNNNNNNNNNNNNNNNNNNNNNNNNNNNNNNNNNNNNNNNNNNNNNNNNNNNNNNNNNNNNNNNNNNNNNNNNNNNNNNNNNNNNNNNNNNNNNNNNNNNNNNNNNNNNNNNNNNNNNNNNNNNNNNNNNNNNNNNNNNNNNNNNNNNNNNNNNNNNNNNNNNNNNNNNNNNNNNNNNNNNNNNNNNNNNNNNNNNNNNNNNNNNNNNNNNNNNNNNNNNNNNNNNNNNNNNNNNNNNNNNNNNNNNNNNNNNNNNNNNNNNNNNNNNNNNNNNNNNNNNNNNNNNNNNNNNNNNNNNNNNNNNNNNNNNNNNNNNNNNNNNNNNNNNNNNNNNNNNNNNNNNNNNNNNNNNNNNNNNNNNNNNNNNNNNNNNNNNNNNNNNNNNNNNNNNNNNNNNNNNNNNNNNNNNNNNNNNNNNNNNNNNNNNNNNNNNNNNNNNNNNNNNNNNNNNNNNNNNNNNNNNNNNNNNNNNNNNNNNNNNNNNNNNNNNNNNNNNNNNNNNNNNNNNNNNNNNNNNNNNNNNNNNNNNNNNNNNNNNNNNNNNNNNNNNNNNNNNNNNNNNNNNNNNNNNNNNNNNNNNNNNNNNNNNNNNNNNNNNNNNNNNNNNNNNNNNNNNNNNNNNNNNNNNNNNNNNNNNNNNNNNNNNNNNNNNNNNNNNNNNNNNNNAAAAAAUUCGAGGCAUUUCCCGGACGCACAAGAAUCGCUCCUUUAGAAUUUGUUCCCAUUUGAGACCAAAUUCCCUUAUGGGCUGGUUUUUAGACUUGCACAUUUAACCUUAGCACCAAGAGUACGAUUUCUUUUAGCGUUCUUCUCUUCUCUUCUUCUAAUGCCACUUCUCCUUCCUUCGUCAAACCGACGAUCUACUUCUUCUUCAACACUUCGUCUUGGUUUCCAAAGGUUAGUCUCCAUCGAUUUUUGUAAUAAUUUUAUGGAAAUUGGCGAUGCAGAUUUGAAAGAGAUCAGUUAUUUUAACCAUUUUGUAUGCUUGUGAUUUUGUAAUUCUAUGGAAAUUGAUGCAGAUUCUAUAGAGAUGAAGAGGUGCUUGAUUAAUGAUUUGGUUUGGUGAUCACUUAUCGAGUUUGCGAGACUAGGAAGCUUUUCCAAAUAUAUAUUAUGUUUGAAGAAAUGCUAAAGAGAGGUAUUCAUUUAUUCUAGAUUGAUUUAUUGAAGUUUGCUACAUCACUGAACAUAUAUAUCACAAUCUUUAACAUUAUUUGAACCCAUAAAGAUCUGAUUUGGGCAUUCUCUCUCUUCACCAGAAUCGAGCUUUAGAAUUUUUUUUUCACAUAUCCUGACGAAAAAUACCCUUUUGAGCAUGGUUUUUCAGUAAUUUCGCAUUUAAUUACUAAUUUAUAUUUGAACCCCCUGGACAAAACAAUAUCUCUCUUUUCAUCAUUUUUCAUCGUAACCUUCUUAAUUCAUCACCUCAAUUUUGACACUCCUCCACUGCACAGGACACAGGUUAGUAGUGCUAUCUUCUUAAUGUUUGUAAUCCAACUUAUUUUUUUCUGCAACUCAUUUUGAAAAUUCUCAAACGUAUAGGAGUAGUUAUGAUAUUCAAAUAGUAUUCUUUGUUUGAAUGGUCUAAUUUUAGAUUUGCCUGAUAUUCAAAUAGUAUUCUUUGUUUGAAUAGUCUGAUCGACAUACUCUGCUGGCAGUAUAUUAAACGUCAAAAAAAUUCGAGGGCAUUUCCCGGACGCACAGAAUUGCUCCUUCAGAAUUUGUUCCCAUUUUGAGACCAAAAUACCCUUAUGGGCCUGGUUUUUUAGACUUUGCACAUUUAAACCCUUCUCUUAAAAUGAAAACACUUUAAUAAACCUUAGCACCAAGAGUACGAUUUCUUUUUAGCGUUUCUUCUUCUUCUUCUUCUUCUUAAUUGCCACUUCUCCUUCCUUCGUCAAACCGACGAUCUACUUCUUCUUCAACCACUUCGUCUUGGUUUCCAAAGGUUAGUCUCCCAUCGAUUUUUGUAAUAAUUUUAUGGAAAUUGGCGAUGCAGAUUUGAAAGAGAUCAGUUAUUUUAACCAUUUUGUAUGCUUGUGAUUUUGUAAUUCUAUGGAAAUUGAUGCAUAUUCUAUAGAGAUGAAGAGGUGCUUGAUUAAUGAUUUGGUUUGGUGAUCACUUAUCGAGUUUGCGAGACUAGGAAGCUUUUCCAAAUAUAUAUUAUGUUUGAAGAAAUGCUAAAGAGAGGUAUUCAUUUAUUCUAGAUUGAUUUAUUGAAGUUUGCUACAUCACUGAACAUAUAUGGUUUCUUUUCAUUGUCAUAGAUGCGUUCAUAAAAAUAUAUAUAUAUUAUGUUUGAAGAAAUGCUAAAGAGAGGUAUUCAUUUAUUCUAGAUUGAUUUAUUGAAGUUUGCUACAUCACUGAACAUUAUAUAUCACAAUCUUUAACAUUAUUUGAACCCAUAAAGAUCUGAUUUGGGCAUUCUCUCUCUUCACCAGAAUCGAGCUUUAGAAUUUUUUUUUCACAUAUCCUGACGAAAAAUACCCUUUUGAGCAUGGUUUUUCAGUAAUUUCGCAUUUAAUUACUAAUUUAUAUUUGAACCCCCUGGACAAAACAAUAUCUCUCUUUUCAUCAUUUUUCAUCGUAACCUUCUUAAUUCAUCACCUCAAUUUUGACACUCCUCCAUGCACAGGACACAGGUUAGUAGUGCUAUCUUCUUAAUGUUUGUAAUCCAACUUAUUUUUUUCUGCAACUCAUUUUGAAAAUUCUCAAACGUAUAGGAGUAGUUAUGAUAUUCAAAUAGUAUUCUUUGUUUGAAUGGUCUAAUUUUAGAUUUGCCUGAUAUUCAAAUAGUAUUCUUUGUUUGAAUAGUCUGAUCGACAUACUCUGCUGGCAGUAUUUUUUACCUUUUCAAACGUCUAUUAUUUUGAUUGGUAGGGCUUCUCUGUUUCGGCUAGCAAGAAACUCAUUCAGAAUGACAUAAUGGUUAAGGAAACGAGAGAAGCUCGACAAUUGUUUGACAUAAUGCCUGAACAGGUGUAAGUUGUCUUCUCUCUUUUAGGAGUUUUGAAAUCCUGAGCAUUUAGAUUUGUUCUAACCUCUUCUGAAGUUGUGAAUUCUGCAAUGAAUGUUUCUUAGGGUAGUGAGUGUUAAGGAAAAGGUCUCCAUAUCCUUGAGCUUGCUUCGAGAUUCAAAAAAGCUCAAAUCAGAUCUAUAUAUCGUACUCACACUUGCAGCAUGUGCAUUUUUUCUAUCGAAUCUCGAAGCAAGCUCAAGGAUGAGAUGCAGAAACGUGGACAACACGAGGAGUUGGGAUUGCAUAACCCAAGUUCAAUAUGAGUGUAUGGUAUUGACUUCAUGGCACAUUAAUAUUAGUUCUCCAUCCAGGCAACUGUGGUCGGCGCAUGUAUCGUUCAAGACCGCGAAUAAAUUCAGUGGCUAAGGGGACAUUUCUCCCAUGGUUGGUAGUUUCUUGAAUUUCUCGGACUGAUAAAGGGACAUCUUUUGCUUCCUUCUUAUGUUCUUCUCUUUCUUCUGUCCACUACUUCACACUUCUUCGUUUUCGUUUCGAAAGGUUAGUCUCAAUAGUUUCUAAUUCUACAAAAAUUGAUUCAAAUUUGAUCUGUUCAUACUCUUUUAGGUCAGUUAUUUACACUAUUUUGAAGCAUAUUCUAUGGAGAUGAAGAGGUGCUUGAUUGAUGAAUUGGGUUGGUGAUCAUUUCGUGCGAAAACAGGAAAGUUUUCCCAAGCAUAUAUUAUAUUUUAAGAAAUGCUCCAGAGAGGUAUUCAUUUAUUAAUUUGGUGUUUCCAGGAUGAAAUUGAUUUAUUGAAGUGUUUCCAGGAUGAGAUUGAUUUAUUGAAGUUUUCUCCGUCACUGAAUAUAUGGUUUCUGUUGAUUGUCAUACAUGUGUUCAUGAGAAAAUAAGAUUUUGAAAUACAUGCAUUGAGAUCGUCAAGAGUGCGAUAUAUAAGCAUUAUGUCAUCCUUAAAAUUCCAAGUGUAUUUUUAUUUCAUGAUCAGUUUGAAUUUUGUUCAAUAGAAAUGUACAGCUGCAUAUAGAACAAACCCUUGAAUGAUAGAGAACAUUUAUAAUACUGUUUCCCCUAGCGACCCUUUACUUUCCUCACACAUACAGCAAAGGUAUUUGUUACACCAUUGGGCAUAUAUGGAUUUUUUAUUUGUCUUAGAAUGUAUAGCUACAUUGCUCUCCAGUUUUAUUCCUCGACAAAAGCCUUGGCAGAUUAUAUUCUUUCAAAAUAGAUAAUCGAACUUAGAUCUAAUAUGGUUAUCUAACUUAAUGAUACUAAUUGUUGUGUAUUGGUGUAGAUAUAACAUCUCGACAAAAGAUGGAGAUUACUAAGAAUCUUGGGAAUCCAUAAAUGGUUGACACUCAAGUAAGCCUAAACAAAUAUCAAUUUCUCUUAGCUUAUCACUAUGUGCUAAUGAUUUCGUUUGAAAUGGUUGCAAUUCAAGAUAAACUAUAAAAUUCUUAGAUUGGUUUGCUUAUAGUUGCAUUUACCAUAGUUUAAAAUACCGAAUCCGGGCGAAAUUUCGGAUUCAGAAAAACGGUAUAUUCCGACAUUCCGACCCUCGAAACAAAUAUGUCACUUGAAAUGUCAGGAAUAUUCUCGGUUAUUCCCGAAAUUUAAAAUGCUGAUUCUCUAAAAACCGGCAUAUUCUGCCGAAAUUUCGGGAAAUAUGUCGGCAUUUUUAACCAUGACAUAUACUACAUUAAUGUAAUUCUACUAUUACUGAAAAUCUCGCAUGUUGGUUGAAAUUCAAACUAUCUUCAAGAAAUUAGAUGCAGAUCCAACACCUGAUUUAUUUGUGAGGUAUCAAGUAUGAAUGCAUUACUGAUUCCUCUAUGAUAUAUCCAGACUCUAGACAAUAUUGCCUUUUAAACUCUACAAUUGAAUGCAAAAGAAUUUUCGUAUUGAGCCCUUUUUUUUCAUCAUAUAUGAUUGAUUAUAUGUUUGAGAUGGUGAUGAAAUACUUCACGAUUUAGAAAAUUGGAUGCAUGUUAUAGAUCUGAUGGUAAGUAACUUUUGGUUUUCAAGCUCAACAUAGACCUUUUCCUCUUCCGCAAAAUCUUCUCCCAUUCCUUCCAUCACUUACCCUUUCUUCUGCACACAUCAAUCUUUUCCCUUUUCUUAUUUCAAUCAGUUGUCUUUUUUCUAAAUCUAUUCAAAUUUUUCUUCUUCUCAAUAUUUUAAACAAUCUAAACCAGAUUAAUCUCAGCUUUCAAAAAACAGGUAACACUUUGUUGAAAAACCUAUGUUGUUAUUCAUGUUUUCAUUUCGAUCGUUUUGAGUCACAGGAUGGAUUUUAAUUUAAAUGACAACAUUGUAUGUUUACAAUUGAGUGGAAAGCCAUUGGAAUCUGUUAAUCUUUACUGCACUGUUAUGCGUAUACGCCAUGCAGGCUCUAUGUGUGUCUGCAAUUACAAUGGUGUUCUAUAUAUGUAAUUUGACUGAUGAUCCUUUUACAUCAUGUCCUUUUCUGUUGAACUGACAGUUUCAAAUUAAUAGUUAUACAUGUGUGAACUGUCUGUAUAAGAUCUUCUUGAUGUUCUUACUUUAGACAUUAUUUUGUUUAAUGUGGAAUUAAAGAAUUGAACUCAUAACCUGUUAUGUAUUUUCUGUACAGAUUUGAGGAAUUUUUGUUCUUGGAUGGACUAAUUUCCGAUUCAUUUUUUUGUUUGAUGGAUUAAAUCAUCAAGUCACCCACAUAUAUAGGUCCAUUCUUGAUUCUUUAAGCUUUGGAUCAAGAAAGUCGGCCAGUCGCUAGGCAUGUUUUUUGAUGAAGUAUCUUCAUUCUGCUUUUCAUACUAUAAGUUUUUAAAAUAAGUUCGGUUAACUCAAAUUUUUUUUCGAUAGCAAAGAAUUGUCAAUAGAGAUCUAAAUAAACUCGGUCUCUCAGCUUAAAACUUGAUUUUGUGAAGGAAGUUGAAUAUUGCCCCAUGUUCAUGUCCUUCAUUAAUUUAAGGUAAAAUUUUGGAUACCCGACAUAAAGUUAUAUAUUUCUUUGCUUGCAUAUUAUGAAUUUCAUUGAAUAGAAAAGUAGGUGUUGAAUUGACAUCAGAGAAAAAAUGGAUCAUUCUUAUAUUUUGUUGUUUGAUUUCUUGAGUCAGACAACCUACCACUUAAUAGUUUUGGGUUGCUUUAUUUCAUUUACCACCGUAUUUCAUUUCAACCUAGAUCUUUAUCCACAUCUCAUUCUGUUAAACCUACAUCUUUUGGUUGUCAAUUCUGAUAAUUAAAGAUUAAUGCAUGUUUAACAUAUUUAUGUCCAAUAAGCAACAAUGCAACAUGGCAUUGAUGCAGGUAGUUACUACACUAUAUUCUUAUUGUUAUUCAAAAGAAGAAAGUUUGAGUCCACACUUCACACAUUUUUAUUUAUGCAAGAGGAGUUUUGUUUGUUAACAAUGAGAGCAAGUAUACCAUAGAUAUUUUUAUAGUUCUACUUCGGUAUUAUUUUCUUACUGUAGGAUUUAUAGACUGAAAAGUUCAUGUAUAGAUUGAGAACGAGCCACUUCGAAUGGUCCAGAUUUCAGAUUUGAUAGUAGGGAUAAAAAUUGAUUAUUAAUAAUUGUUCUUUCCCUUCUUGUGCAGAUUUGAGUGAACGGUUGUACGGUAUGGUUUGAUCUCACUACCUCCGAAAACUUGCUACCACAUUCCACAAGGAAAGGUUAGUAUUUACUAUUAGAUAGCUUUGUUUUUCUUUUUCAUUUUAUCUUUUAUCCAUUUUGAAUUCCUCUCCAAAAACAUACUACAACUUCUUCUCUUCCCCCACAACCUCUUCUUCUUAGUUUGCACGAUAUUGUUUUCGUAAAUUUUGCACAGGUUAGCAUACUAAUAUGGUGUUUUUGUAUUUUUCUAAAUGAUCCAUGACAUGAAUUCGUAACAACGAUUGUAAGAAAACAUAAUUUUACUAAAUGAUCCAUGACAUGAAUUCGUAACAACGAUUGUAAACAUAGUUUUAGUCUUAUAACAACUCUACGACAUCCAAGAAUCCUAUUACUGUGAGGGUAUGCUAGCGAUGGAUAUGUCACAGAGAAAAUUUAGUGUCAUUAGGUUUAUUGGUCUUCAAUGUGAACUGUAGGCUGGCCAAGGGAAAUUGAUUGUUUUAAUGUAUACAUAGAAAAACAAAUAUUUUGCACUGAAAAGAAGAAUUGCAUCAUGCAUUUCAACAUAUAGUUCAAAAGAUGUUGUAAAUCUUCUAGAAAUACAUUUUGCUCUCUUUUUAAUUAUAGUUUUCUUUCAUUGCAGGCCCCUCCAUCAAGUUGCCUUCAAGUAAGGGUUUUCCUAGGUGAUUUAUUUCCUUUUUCAAUGGAUGAUCCAACAUAUUUGUUAAAGCUAGCGUGGGAAGCAGGAAAACAACUUAUCAUUUAAGAAGUGGAAGUUGUACCACCACGGAAUAUGAAGGUGCGUUUAUAAAUCUUAAAUUGAUUAUAGAUUUUCUCCAUCUAUUUGGUGUAGUAUUAGUUAUGUAUUUUAAUAGUCGAGAAUCUGUGCUUUUGUAUACAAUUUGUAUUGUCAUUUUAAGCAUAGGUGAAAAUUUCGAAUAAACUCGAAUAUCCGACCCUUGAAAAAUCGGUAUAUUCUGCGAAUAUCCGGACCCCAAUGUCGGAAUUGGAAGGUUUGGCAAAAUGGUUUUCGCGAAAUAUUGCUCGAAUAUUCGCGGAUAUUCACGAAAAAUUCGAAUAAUUGUAUUAAAUAAAUGUGGGAAUUAUAUUUAAAAAUAAAUGUGUUAAUUUCAAAUUCGAAAAUUUUGUAAUUUUCGUACUUUUCGAAUAUUUCGCAAAUAUUCGUAAAAAUCCGGUCGGCAUGGGGAGGUUUAUGUUUUGUUUAUUAUUCGUAUGCCGUACCGCUCCGAAUUCCCAAAAAUCGGCAAAAUUGGUGAAUAUCCGCCCGAUAUUUUCGAUUUUUUCACCUAUGAUUUUAAGAACAUUUUUUUUAACGAUAAGAACAUUGCAUUCUCAAAUAUUUCGUUGCUAGCACUAUGCAUCACUUUUCUCAAUAUACACAAUAUUUUGUUUUUCUUUUGUUUUAUAGGAGUAGAUCUACAAAUUAGAUACACUGCAUGAUUCUUAAUGACUGACAUUUACACCUCUUUGGCAUUAGACAAUUGUCUUAUUACAGGGUAUAGUCGAUUUUUUCACCUAUGAUUUCAAGAACAUUUUUUUUAACGAUAAGAACAUUGCAUUCUCAAAUAUUUCGUUGCUAGCACUAUGCAUCACUUUUCUCAAUAUACACAAUAUUUUGUUUUUCGUUUGUUUUAUAGGAGUAUAAAAGAUUUUGGGAAGUAGGUUGAUGGUAGAAAUCUAAAAAACUAAAAUUAUUGCGUUAUCAAAGAGUGUUUUUGUUAGGAUAAAUCAGGGUUUUUUCCUUCCAAAAUUCUUCUUUAAAUCACGCCUUAGAUGUUUUAUGAAUCACCUGUUUGUGAAAAUGGAUACUCCCUCCAUCCCAAUUUGAUAGUCCUAUAUUCCAUUUUAAGUUGUCCUAAAAUGAUGGGAACUUUCUAUAUUCGUAUGCGUAUUAAUUAGGCUAAUUUGAAUUUUUUACUUGAUUACCCAUUCUUGAAAAGAGUGCAAAUAGAAAAUGAUGUUAGUAGUAUUUUAUUUGUAAGUCAUCAAAUAAGGGUAAAGUUGGAAAUAUAGUUAAUUAUAUCUAUAAUAAAUGACGUGCCCUUAAAAAGUUGGGUUUUCUAUAAAGGACUAUCAAAUUGGGACAGAGGGAGUAUAUUUUUGUGUCCCAAAAUUACUUGCAUAUUUGCUUUUGAAACGUCAAUUCAAGAAAUUGAUCCAAUAAAUAGUAUUAGAUGUAUAUAUAAAUGUUCUUAGGCUUCCCACUUCAUCUCAUUAAAUGGGAUACCAUUUGUUGUUCUCAAAGUACAGGUCGCCCUUCAACAUCUUUUGAACUUUCUAUGUCCAAAACUUUUUUUCUUUUCAUCACCCCUAGAGAAACCAUUCCUCUCUUCUACCAAAAUCCAUUUUGUAAUCUUAUUUAAUCUCUUAUGUUGUGAUACCUUAAAAUGGAUAUCCAUUUCGAGUUUUUGAAAAUUUGAUAUCUUAUGUUUGGAAGAAUAACCAUAUUUUCUUUUGGACUUCCUAACCUUUAGAGUUAAAGCUGAAAUUUUGAAAAUCAAUAUAGUUUGACGUUUGAACCAUAUAUCCAUAUAUUGCAUGCUUUUUUAUUAGCAUAAUUGAUAUGUUUGAUAGACCCAAAAUUAUUGAUGGAUUUUGUGAAACUAAUUCUGCUGGUAUUAUUAGAGGUAUACAGAUGUUCUUAAGAAAAAUAUGUUUUAAAUACCAUUGAAAAUGUUGUUAUAUUUAUGUUUAUAUUUUGCAGAGGACUUCAGCUAUAAGCCAUUAGCCAUGUAUAUGGAAGGGGCACUUCUUCAAUUUCUAUAUUCAAGUAUCACUUAUGUCGAUUACAUCCAGUUUCAAUUCCUCUGCAAUAGAGUAAGGCAUGAUACAAGAACAAAGCAAGGCACAAUCCCUUCUUUGACGGCUCAUCUAGAACACUAGAGGUAAGCCAUCAUUCAGAAAAAUUGAAAUCUCUUUUUACAUACACUCGUGACAACCUUUUUCUUUUUACUUUUUUCCCCCCCUUAUUCUUAGAUUCAAUGAUUUAGUAGUUAUUUUAUUUUUGAUAAAUAGGAAAUUUAUUGAUUAAGAGAGAGUACAAAGACAACUACAAAAUUGAGUGAGGGAGGUAGUAGGCCCCAGUUCUGUUUUGGGAUGUUUUGAGAUUGGAUUCUACAGAAUUAGGAUUUAAACAAACAAUAAUCCAGUUUUUAAGGGUUUUAUCGAUUUAGAAGAUACCCAUUCAAGUUGAGAUUUAAUUUUAUAGACAUGUUAAACAUGUACUUAAAAUGAAUUGAGUUUUUAGACUUUUAUGAGUUUAUUGGCUAGAAUUCUUGGAUGGGUGAGUAAUGUAAGAAACCAGAGAACGAGAGAAGCCUUUUAUGGUACAAUCAAUAUUCAUGUAAUAAUGCUAUUUAAAGACAGGCUACGCCCGAGAUAAUAACCAAUUCACAUUGCUAUUCAAGGCGUAAGACCCAAACGACUUGGGAAAAAGGUUGCCCUGGAGAUACUAAUGUAAUUCAUAUCAUUUCAACUUAAGAGAGAAGUACUAAGAAUCUUGGGAAUCCAGUAAUGGUUUGCCCAGAAGAUAAGCUAAAGAUUCAUGGAAGUUUGAAGAGAGGUAAUGGAAGCCUUCUAAGUUGUAUCCCUUUCUUUGAUGUUUUAAUUGAAACCUUAAGCAAUUAAAAAAAAAAAAUAUUGUGUAUAGGAGCAAAAAAAAAUUGUUUAUCACUCUUAGUGAUGGGAUGGUAAGUUAAGUGAGAUGCCAUCAUAUGAUGAUUACCAUUUAGUUCCUUAGAGCACUUACAGUAACGAAAGAUAGUUGAUGUUAUUUAUUAUUUUCUACUUUAUUAAUUUUUAUAUGUUUGACGGAGUUUGAAAGCGAAUAAAUAACCCAUGCAUUUAUUUUGGUCUUUUAGAAUUCUUAGAGGUAAAGCUAACAUGCUUAAACAUUAGUCAUUUGACACAUAUUUUCUCAUCAAUAUUUAUUUGAACACAUUCAUCCUAUGAUUGCAUGUCUAAAAAAAGAGAUAUUGACUCAAUUUUUUGAAAAUUGAUGGAUUUGAGUGUCCCCUGAAAUUAUUGAAUCAUGAAAUUACUGAUAGCCUAUAUGGCUUAUACAAAAUCUCUAAAGUUUUUUUAGGAGAACCUUAUUUUUCAAUGUCAUUAUAGUAUCUCUCUAAAAUAUAAUUAUAGAAACUACUGGUGUUGUGUUGUUGAAUCUCCUCCUCUACUCACAGAAAUUCACUACCUACAUCUUAUAUUCUUGCUGCUGUAAUGUUCAAGUGGACUUUUCACUGAUUUUCAGGCUAUCCAAGGAAUCACUAUUUAGUCUUAUGAUAUUGAACGCGAUCCAACACAAGGCUCUGUUAAAGCUAUUUUCGUACGCUAAGCUAUGCAAGAUUUGUUGGGAAGGAAAGUUAGAAUUGGCUAGCACAUAACGUCGAUUCCAGCAAGAAAUUUUGUUAAUUUUAGACAACUUCAAACAUUACUUUAAAACUGUUUGUAUGACUGAUACAAUCUAUUAAUGUGCUAGAUAUGUUACUAAAAGUGUUGUAACUUCUCAUGUUUAAAUUGAAUCAGUAAAACUUUGUAUCUUUUUGAAAAAACCCAAGUUGCCUAAGAUAUUUGACAAUUGUUUCAAAUAAUAAUUCAGAUUGUUACUUGGUUUCACAAUUGUUAAAUGAUUAGAGGCAUGCAAGAGUAGUAACAAAAUAUGCAUCUUCGACAAAUUAGUGCAUUAUCAAGAAAUGUUAAAUAUGCUAAACAUGCUAUCAUGAAUUCAUCGUAUAAUGUUUGCAACGUAAUGGAUUAUAUUUGAGUUCUUAGAUAUUUUUUAUUACCUUCGUGAUUUAUUUAAGUGCGUAGUGACAUCUUAAUUUUAUAACGUCCAUUUUCAAUUAAAAAUCUUAGCAAUUUACACCAUUAUGAACAUAUAUUAUUAAUAAUGAUAGCAUUGCAAAUGCCCAUUUUAUGUUUCAUUCAUUCGGUGUGACUUAACCGAGUAAAUCAUGAUAUAAUCCAUCCAGCUAAAUAAUCAUCGCUUAGCCCGUGCGUAGCAUGGGUUCACCUACUAGUAAUUUAAUAUUAAUCAAAACCUUUCUUCUAAAUCAAUUCUAACAAUAUUUGAAGUCGUUUUUUUCUGCACCCAACAAACCAAAAUACAAAAAUUAAAUAUUCUUGCAAAAUUCAUAAAGAGCAAUCUCAUUUGGCAAACUUAGUAACCAUAAAUUAAACAUGGUUUGAGAAUGAUCACCUAAAAAAAUCAUUAAACUAUUAUGUUUGAUAUCCUCCAAUAUCCAUUGACUUUUAAAUAUUUGCUUCUAUGUUCGACUAAAUUAUUGAUUUAUUGAGCAAAAUCUAUUGCUAAAUUGGGGCAAAAGGACCAAAAAUUUACUUGGUAUCAUUCUAUGAACAACAUAAGAAGUAAACCAAAUAGAUUUGAACGCUAAAUUUAUAGAUCAAACAUGAAAGGAACAAUAUAAAACACACAAAAAGUGUGAAAAGUAAUAAACCCGACAACCACACACCCCAUUAUGUGAAAUCAUCGUAUUAAUGUUUACAAAUCCGCCGAGGAAAAAAGCAAUGAAAAGAUGUUCAUCAAACCCUUGUGUGUUUAACAUUGUACCAACCUUUUUUACAAGAGCCAUUUAUUCAAUACAUUUUAACUCAGUACAUUACGGUGCGAGCAGCAUUUUCGUCCACACAAUGUGACUAGGACAACUUGGUAACCGGUUAUGCAAUUUUUAUUGUUUCUUUUAGUUUUUCAGUCAAACAUACAGGUGGCAGCUAUAUGGAUGACAAAAUUGCUGUAUGGAUGACAAACAGCUGUAUGGAUGACAAAAUUGCUAUAUGGAUGACAAAAUUCAAGAAACAAUAAGAGCAAAUUUUUGUUGACUUUAGACUAACCAGUAACAAGUUUCCACUUGAGUCCACGUGGAAGAUUGUGUGGUGUACAAGCAAAUGUACCGUAAUACACCAUACCAAAAAUGUACCGAAUAACAGCUAUCUUACAAGAUACGCCAACAGAACCUUUCCAACCAAAUCUAAUAGCCUAGGAACUCAUGGAGACUGCCAGUCUCAUGAGUAACAGUAUAAGUAACUGUAACACCCCAGGUAGGCAGGUGGUUUGCUGAGAGGGUGGGUCCUACAGAACUUAGAGGGGGAUGUCCUGACAUUGGAAUAUAGGUAUAGAUCCGUCAUAUAAUAUCAUCGAGGCCUUUUGGGCUCACUUGGCUCCAGAGUUCGAAAGAACUCCGGAGUUAAGCGUGCUCGGGUGGGAGUAGUCUCAGGAUAGGUGACCUCCUGGGAAGCAGGCUGCUGCCCUAUAAAACCCCACAUUGUCGGAUGUUCGCAGUGGCUAAGUGGGGACAAUAUCGGUGGUGAUAUAGGUCGGGUCGCUACAAAUGGUAUCAGAGCCGACGACGGUUCACCUGUCGAGGGUGGGAGAGUAUGCUGGAAAGGCGCCUAGCCCAGGAAGGGGUGAUGGUUGCGCCAGGUACUCGUCUCACGAGGGGCAGGGAACGACGGAGAUCUGGGGCUGUAUAUUCCAGAGCCGAGGACGGCUCUCCUCUAAGGUGGUGGGAUUGUAACACCCCAGGUAGGUAGGUGGUUUGCCGAGAUGGUGGGUCCUACAGAACUUAGAGGGGGAUGUUCUGACAUUGGAAUAUAGGUAUAGAUCCGUCAUAUAAUAUCACCGAGGCCUUUUGGGCUCACUUGGCUCCAGAGUUCGAAAGAACUCCGGAGUUAAGCAUGCUCAGGUGGGAGUAGUCUCAGGAUGGGUGACCUCCUGGGAAGCAGGCUGCUGCCCAAUAAAAUCCCACACUGUCGGAUGUCCGCAGUGGCUAAGUGGGGACAAUAUCGGUGGUGAUAUAGGUCGGGUCGCUACAAACAAGUUUGGUAUCAGAGCCAGGUUUGUAGGACCCUAGUGAGUCUAGAAAUUUCAGAUUUUCUUAGUACUAGAUUCACGUAUAGGAUCUGUGGCUAGUUUCCAAGUUUGAGUGAGGACGAAUAGUAUUUUUGUCACAAAUCAAUGUCAAAGGGGGAGAUUGAAACCNNNNNNNNNNNNNNNNNNNNNNNNNNNNNNNNNNNNNNNNNNNNNNNNNNNNNNNNNNNNNNNNNNNNNNNNNNNNNNNNNNNNNNNNNNNNNNNNNNNNNNNNNNNNNNNNNNNNNNNNNNNNNNNNAUUUUUUCGAAAUAUGAUUUUCUUAUAUGUGCUAUUAUGUUUGAACCCCACAGUAAUCGUUGCAAAAUAUAUAGGUAACCGAAACAGAAAAUGUAACGCGGCACGGUUUAGCACGUGCAGCGUUGCAAAUUAGAAACAGUUAAGAACUUAAGAUCGAGUUAAACUCAAUCUCUUUCUCUUUAAAACUCAUCUCCUGCCUCGAUCUUUCUUCUCCUUCCCAACUCGAAUUGAAACUCGAUAAUUUCUUCUUCUCAUACAAACAACAAUUUCAAUUCUUCUCACCCAAACAACAAUUCAAUCACUGCUUCUCCUUCUUCUUUUUUUUUCUUUUGAAAUUUCCAUCACUGCCUCUGCAACCUCUUACUCAUCCGCGCGCUGCUGCUGCUGUGUGUUUUCAAUCGUCACUCCAAUCACGGUCAAUCUCAGAGUAAGAAUGCUCCCUGUUUCUCUCUCUCUCUUUAUCUAUCUUCUAAUAGCGAUUUUGAACUCAUUUCAGGCAUCUACACAGCCAGGAUUCGGAAUCAGGUGCAUGACUUUUUCUUCAAAUUUCUUAGGGUUUAUACUUAGAGAAGAAUGUCCAGUCUUAGGGUUUUGCUUAUUUGGUUUUGCAGUGAUUGUACAUUUGCAGAUGCUGGAAACCUAGAACAUUGUGCAAAGUAUUUGAAUCAAACUCUUGUUACUUUUGGAUUUCCAGCGUCUCUUGAUCUAUUCGCUAAUGAUCCGGUCUGGUUUCGUUUCAUUUUUUAUAGUAUUCUAUUUGCUUUUCGUGACGUGAUGUCGCUCUUUUCUGAUACAUUGUUGGAUGUUUUUCAUUAAUUAGGUUUCAAUUGCACGGACCUGCAAUUGUAUUUAUUCUUUGCUUCAACAGAGACAGAGAGACAUUGAGUUCAGAGAGUCUACAAAUGAGCAGCGCCAGAGGUAGACCUACAUUAUUUAUUUGUGCUGCUUUUUCAAAAUAAACAAUUACUCUAAGGGAGACCACAUGGAAAUCUUUUGGUAAUUUUGAUUCACUUGAUAGAAAUCCUUACUUUUAAGUCAAUGUGGAUCAUAUACUCUUCUGUAUACAAUAUUUGAAAACAAGGAAUAGGACAUGUGACAUGUCUGUUAUUACAUGUUUGUGUGCGAGAGGUGAUAAAUAUGACUGAAACGUUAAUAAAUAUAAAGGUAAUAUGCCAGCUGCUUGAUUUUUUUUGAGUGAAUUGGUUGGAGUGCUGAAAUUUGUGUUACUGUAUGUCUAUCUGUGCAAACAAUUUCCAUGCACAUGCUUUUAGAUGAUAUUUCGAUUAAGUUAUGUAGAGUGUAGACAUGUUUGAUGUGGAAUUUUGGGCAACUCACCUGAUAGAAGUCUUUACUUUUAAGUCGAGCUCUGGAUUAUAUAUCGUGAAAACAUAGACUAGGACAUUGUCUGUUAUUACAUGUUUAUAUGCAGUGAAGAUUAAUAUGAUCGAAACAUUAAAAGGUACCAUGCCAGCUGCCUAAUUUUGUCUGAGUGAACUGGUUGGAUUGCUGGAAAAGAAACCUGUUUCUGUUUGUUAAUAUAACACAGUAUUUCUUAGCCAGUUAACACUUUGUGCUGAAGUUUGUUUAACUUUAUGUCUAUUUAAGUAAAGAAUUUUCUUGGACAUGCUGUUAUCAUCUGACAUGUCAAGGUUAGAAGCCAAAGUUGAGAGGCUUGAGGCACAGUUAGCAGCAAAAGACCGCGAGUUGGCUACAUUGACCCGAACGGUCUGACUUCUGAAACAGUAGCUUAUAGUGUUUUCCCUGUAAAAUGUUAGAUGUAACUGGAGGUUUUUUUUUUCUAUUGCUAGCUCUUUAUUAUUAUUCUAACAAAAUUUUAUUGGGCAGGAGGCUAAAGCUACAGCAACAUUUAAGGCUCAGAUUGAAAAGCUACAGCAGGAGCGAGACGAAUUUCAAAGGAUGGUUAUUGGUAAUCAGGUUUGGGCACUCUUCUUGUGUUCUUGUGUUUUCUUACUGUCAUUUUUCUCUGGAAUGGCUCCUGACAAUAGUCUGUAUGGACUAAUAAUCCAAUAGCAAGUGCGGACUCAACAAAUACAUGAGAUGAAGAAAAAAGAAAAGGAAUACAUUAAGUUGCAGGUAGACACCUCUAUCCCAAUCUUUUAUAGGUCUGGUAGAGUAGUUAUUCGCUUGAUGAUGUUAGUAAAAGUUGAUAAAAUCUUAGAUAAUAAGUUAAAAGUGGAAAUUCUCUGCUCUGCAGGAAAGGUUAAACCAAGUUUUGAUGGAGAAAAAGAAAGAAUCAAGGUCAGGCAUGGAGAUAAUGAAUUUGCUUCAGGUAAAAUAACAGCGUUGGUGAAUUUUUCGUAUUGAAAGUGUGUAAACUACAGUCACUGACGCUACUGGUACAUGUUAGCAGAAAGAAGAGCGCCAACGUGGGACGUGGAAUGGAAAGAAGGCUGACAAUGACUUUUACAAGAUGAUUAUACGGAACAAUAAGAAUGAGAAUCUUAUUUGCAAUUAUAUUACUUUUAAUGCACUAGGACAACUAUGUUUUAUUAUAUUUUUAUUGGUACUGCAGGUGGAUUCUUAUGAGGUGAACAAGCAAGAGCUCAUGUCGGAAAAUGCUGACUUGAAGGCAUUGUUACGUUCAAUGCAGGUGAUUUAUACGAAUGUUUUUUUGCUGUUUUUUUUUUUGAAAGGUUAACGAUCAAUAUAUUAAUAAGAAAAAGAUACAAAUUACAAGGGGGUAAGGGAUGAGCUAUCCAUAUAACCAAACUUAACAAAAAAAAACCAUAAGACAACCAACAAGACUAAACCCCUAAUGUAUUAAUAAGAAAAAGAUACAAAUUACAAGGGGGAAAAUGAAGCUCUUGCUGAUUAGGCGUUUUUUUAGGUUCUUUAUCAAGCUUCUUUUGUGGCCUUUAACACUUCUAUGCAUUCAUGUUCAUGAUUAUGUUUGGUGCCAAGUCAUAUUUUGUUAGUCUGCAUGUAAAAAUUAUUGUUCUUAAUUUUCUAUCUGAUUUGAUUCAUUUAAUCUUUAGUCUUAUUAUUCUGCAGAUGGAUAUGCGCGAGUUUUUAAAUGCUCCAAAUGGACUAUCCAAACCAACGGUGCCUUUAAAUGAAAGAAUUGAUGCAGACCCUCCACAGUCUCCGUUGGGUGGUAAGACGGUAAUGGUCCAUUCACGCGCUUAAAAAUUUGAAUUGGUCAUUUAAAAAGAUGUUUUCAUUGUUUGACUUUGAGAAUGUGUUUCUACUUGCAGGAUGUCUUUGAUCUUCCUUUUCACAUGGCUAGGGAUCAAAUAGAAGAGAGUCUUCGAACUAAGAUGGCUUCUAUAAAGGUGACUUUUAACAACUUUUGCAAAUCCUUGUUGUGGCAUUUCCAGGAAUGGAAUUUGGCUUAUUAUUUGAAUUAACUGUAAGGUUAUUAUUAAUUUGUUUUAGUUCCUAACUAUUCAUUAUGAUUGGAAGGAGCGGAUAGUUCAACUACAACUAUGCAUCAAAGGACCUGGACAAGCUACAAACUGCAAAUUUUGACCAGAAAAUCGGAGUCCAGAUUAUUUAGAAUGCUCUCAAGGUUUGAACCUUUUUUUCUUGAAUACGGUGAUAAUUGGUGUAUGAACUUGAAUAUUUCACACCAAAUGCUUAGAUAAGCGAAAUAAGAAUCUCGAUUGUGUUUAGUGUGAGAAUGGCUAUAAGUGUUGUGUAUAAAAAGCAUUAGAACAAUUGGAGGAAAACUAUCUUUUUCUAUUGCUUUAGUUGGUCUUAGCACUACUAUUGUUGUAGUGUCUCAUUGAGUUUAAAUAGAGAAUGGGAAACCAAACAUAGCCGUAGUUGUUCUGAUGUAUGGGUUUGUAGAAAAGGCAAUGGAAGCUAUCUAAUUGCAGGUGCAUGUGGAA